RNAcentral lists this long non-coding RNA (74454 nucleotides) under Brassica napus (rape). RNAcentral's name for it is "long non-coding RNA (BNAP_LNC014444)". The record is from RNAcentral. Lineage: Eukaryota; Viridiplantae; Streptophyta; Magnoliopsida; Brassicales; Brassicaceae.
CGCUUUGUAAGCUGAGCAUCUUGCCGCCGGAUUUUGAAGGCAAGGUGAAGAUGAAAGAGUGGCUUGUGAGGCUGUCUAAGAUGGGGGCUUCUGAUGAGCUCACUGAGCAGCAGGCCAGGCAGCUUCACUUUGACCUUGAGUCUUCCUACAACUCCUUCAUGGCUGCUUUGCCUAGUGCCGGUAACUAAAUAAUCAUGUUGUGUAAUGAUCAUGCCAGAUAAUUGUCUUCAUCUGAAUUGUAUGAAUCUAAAUUCUUACCUUGUUUUCGUUAGCUAUGAACUUAGAAAAGGUUAUUAGUCAGCAUUCAUCCAUUAGUAUAUAUUAACAGUAAGCUUGGUUGAUUGAAGCCAAAAAAGAAUCUCAGAAUUUUUUUUUUAAGAAAAGGAAUCUUUACGAUUAAUACUGAGAAGAAGAAAAAAAACACAAAACAAGUGUGAUUCUGUACAUGAGAGAAACAAUUAAAUUACAACCACCACAAGGAAACGCCAUUUACAGUAAUUAAACAAUUAUUAAAACGUCAAUCAUUGUUUAUGAAUUAUGAUGUGUGAAUGUGUCUUCAUCUCAUCGUGUAGUGUUGUAACAUAUAAUCAAUACUCAGGAGAGAAGAGAGUGGCCAAACCUUGAUCAACUGUUACUUGAAGCUUGUCGUAGGACAUCAAAGCAAUUUGCUCACAUUUAUAGGAUCUUCUUCCCCUUGCCAAUACCUCUCCAUCUGCAUCUAUGAUUCCUUCUGUGUCUGGUUCGCCUACCAGUAUACCCGGUUCAAGUGCAAAUGCCUUCACCUUUUUAUAUACAGUAAAUUGAUUUCAAUCUUUUAGCCAAAUUCACAAGGGACUACUGAAUUCAUGGUAUCAGAUGGCAAACCUUUAGAUAUGCUACGUAUGGUGACUGAACAUGUGUUCCUUCACUUAUCUGUGUCAUAAGCGAUAGCAAAGCUAGCUUAGGGCACUUUUUCAAGACAAUCAAAUCCAGGAAGCCAUCAGAAAACUGCUCAGAUAACACAAAACUUAGCCACAUCAAAUUUUCUUAUUUUCUCAUGAAGGCCUAGUCCUCCAAGAACGGUGUUUCCUGAUUUAGAAAUGUCACAAAAUGUGUAAAACUUACCUUUGCUGCAGGAGCAACCAAAUUGUUCUCAGCACCCCAGGGAACAUUAUGAAGCCAUACUGAAACAAAAGGGCCUUUGAUUUCUCUCCAUUCGUCAACAUCUUCAAAUUUAGUAUCAGGUCCUUGGUAUCCAAGCGCCUUAUUAUUGCUAACAGGUGGCUCUUUGUAUAGACGGUAACUUGUUGGCUGCCCAUAGCCUUCAAAACCAGGAGCCGGUAGAAACAAAACUCGUCCAUUGUAUUGUCUUAAACAUAUUAUCCUUUGAAUGGCCUACAGAUACAAGCCAGUCAGGAGAGCAUUGAAUAUUAUCUUUAGUUGAAUAAGACAACAGCUGAGCAAAAUCAGAUAAUCCACAAGCAACUAAUUAAUGGAUAUAUUUCAACAUACUGACUACAUGCACAGUUUUAAGACUUGCAAUGCAAAAGAUCGUCAGUGUUUUCAACUAAACAUACAUAGAAGUCCAUGCGAGCACUACCCAUCCAUCUGAACUUCUCUGACUCUAUGUCUAUAUCAGCCACUAAACCUGAAAACAAAUCAGCAUUAAUCUCAACACAACCAACGGUAUAAUCUAUCUACCAAGCUCAGGCACUAUUUUCAUUAGCAAAAUAUACUUGCAUACCCCAAGCAAGCAUCAAGACGCUGAAGAAUUUGGUAUUUCCUUGUGAGAUAGUUGCCACAUCUAAAGAACGUGUAUGACCUGCCAAUACCAAAUUAUGUUGAAAGUGAGCUGCUUCAUGGGUAUAAAGAAAGACUGUUUUUGAAGGAGGCAAUUGCACGGAGUAGGACCUCGGAUAAUAGAGAUAGUAGCACUAUUUGCACAGCACUGAAGCCCAACCGCAUCCAACAAUGACUUUAUCAUGCCAUUACCAGUUCCUGGAUCCAAAAAUUACAUUGAAGCAUACAAACAGGGGAAAAAAAAGCUAAAAAGGAUAUUUAAAAUGUAUUUUUAGAUCCGUGGAAUGCAUCUUAACAUAUAGCAUCCAACCCCAUUCACAUAAAAAUUACUAUUUACUAAGAACACAAAAAAAAAGCAAAGUUCUUAAGGGUUCCUCAUAGACCAGACGACAAACCUGCAGGGAUCACUCCAAUUGGCAAUUUGAAGACAGUUUUCCAGUCUGCUCUUUGAAGCAGUCCAUUUACAACCUAUUUAAAAUUAAGACACACUUGUAAAAAAUCAGAGAUCAUUAAGAAAAUAAUCGAAUAAACUCAGAAUCAGAUCUAAGCAAACACAACAGACAAGGGAUUGCUUUCUCUAAGAGCAGAAUCACUUUUAAAAUGAAAGCAUAUCACUUACCUCAACAAGGACACCGUCGCCACUGACACAAACAAUACCAUCAUACUUUGAUACAUCCAUGGACCUAACCAUUUCCCUUGCAUGCAACUGAUACUUGGUUUCUAGAAAAUCAACAUUUCAAUUGUUAGUUUCAUAGAGAAGAGUUCUGGGAAACAGAGGGGGAAGAAAUCAGGAACCUUGAACAUCAAGUUGAAUGUCAGCAUCUUCAAACAAUGGCUUCACUUGCUUUUCAAAUAUCUUUAGAGCAGAUUUCUUCCCGCCAAAAGGGUUCACAAACACAAGCAACCUCUUUGGCCGACCUACAAUUUCAACAAAGACUUGCCAGUUUUAGCAUUCUGAGAGUUUCUUAAUCACCGUGUUACACAAGUUUCCUUUUUUUUUUCUUAAACCCUAGCUACUAUAAAAGGGUUGGCAAGAAAGGACUAACCGAGAGAGUCAAGGUAUUGACGGAGCUUGAAGCAGAAUCUAUUCUUAGCAUCUUCAGAGAAAGGCUCAAAGACGAAGUCUUUUCUGGAGUAAUCUCCACCAAACUCUCCGCAACAGAUACCUUCCUCUCUCUCCACCACUGUUUUGAUUCUAAUAUAUUUACCUUCCACGACGAAACCGAGAACGUCUUUCUUCACCGUCCAGUAACGGCUGGGUUCGCCGUACUCGAUCGCUUCUAAAACUCCAUCGGCGGUCAACUUCACCAUCCCGAGUUCGCCGUCUAUUAAGACUAGGUCGACGACUAUUACCUCCGCCGGAGCCAUAACGGAGAGAGUUAGAUUCUUUGUUAGCUUUGCAGGUGAGUGCCAUUUACAGUAAUUAAACAAUUAUUAAAACGUCAAUCAUUGUUUAUGAAUUAUGAUGUGUGAAUGUGUCUUCAUCUCAUCGUGUAGUGUUGUAACAUAUAAUCAAUACUCAGGAGAGAAGAGAGUGGCCAAACCUUGAUCAACUGUUACUUGAAGCUUGUCGUAGGACAUCAAAGCAAUUUGCUCACAUUUAUAGGAUCUUCUUCCCCUUGCCAAUACCUCUCCAUCUGCAUCUAUGAUUCCUUCUGUGUCUGGUUCGCCUACCAGUAUACCCGGUUCAAGUGCAAAUGCCUUCACCUUUUUAUAUACAGUAAAUUGAUUUCAAUCUUUUAGCCAAAUUCACAAGGGACUACUGAAUUCAUGGUAUCAGAUGGCAAACCUUUAGAUAUGCUACGUAUGGUGACUGAACAUGUGUUCCUUCACUUAUCUGUGUCAUAAGCGAUAGCAAAGCUAGCUUAGGGCACUUUUUCAAGACAAUCAAAUCCAGGAAGCCAUCAGAAAACUGCUCAGAUAACACAAAACUUAGCCACAUCAAAUUUUCUUAUUUUCUCAUGAAGGCCUAGUCCUCCAAGAACGGUGUUUCCUGAUUUAGAAAUGUCACAAAAUGUGUAAAACUUACCUUUGCUGCAGGAGCAACCAAAUUGUUCUCAGCACCCCAGGGAACAUUAUGAAGCCAUACUGAAACAAAAGGGCCUUUGAUUUCUCUCCAUUCAACAUCUUCAAAUUUAGUAUCAGGUCCUUGGUAUCCAAGCGCCUUAUUAUUGCUAACAGGUGGCUCUUUGUAUAGACGGUAACUGGUUGGCUGCCCAUAGCUUUCAAACCCAGGAGCCGGUAGAAACAAAACUCGUCCAUUGUAUUGUCUUAAACUUAUUAUCCUUUGAACGGCCUACAGAUACAAGCCAGUCAGGAGAGCAUUGAAUAUUAUCUUUAGUUGAAUAAGACAGCAGCUGAGCAAAAUCAGAUAAUCCACAAGCAACUAAUUAUGGAUAUAUUUCAACAUACUGACUACAUGCACAGUUUAAGACUUGCAAUGCAAAAGAUCGUCGACAGUGUUUUCAGCUAAACAUACAUAGAAGUCCAUACGAGCACUACCCAUCCAUCUGAACUUCUCUGACUCUAUGUCUAUAUCAGCCACUAAACCUGAAAACAAAUCAGCAUUAAUCUCAACACAACCAACGGUAUAAUCUAUCUACCAAGCUCAGGCACUAUUUUCAUUAGCAAAAUAUACUUUCAUACCCCAAGCAAGCAUCAAGACGCUGAAGAAUUUGGUAUUUCCUUGUGAGAUAGUUGCCACAUCUAAAGAACGUGUAUGCCCUGCCAAUACCAAAUCAUGUUGCCACAUCUAAAGAAUUUGGUGUUUCAUAAGAAUGAAAGGAUGUUUUUGAAGGAGGCAAUAGCACGGAGCUGGACCUCGGAUAAUAGAGAUAGUAGCACUAUUUGCACAGCACUGAAGCCCAACCGCAUCCAACAAUGACUUUAUCAUGCCAUUACCAGUUCCUGGAUCCAAGAAUUACAUUGAAGCAUACAAACAGGGAAAAAAAAAACUAAAAAGGAUAUUUAGAAAUGUAUUUUUAGAUCCCUAGAAUGCAUCUUAACAUAUAGCAUCCAACCCCAUUCACAUAAAAAUUACUAUUUAAUAAGAACACAAAAAAAAAAAGCAAAGUUCUUAAGGGUUCCUCAUAGACCAGACCACAAACCUGCAGGGAUCACUCCAAUUGGCAAUUUGAAGACAGUUUGCCAGUCUGAUCUUUGAAGCAGUCCAUUUACAACCUAUUUAAAAUUAAGACACACUUGUAAAAAAUCAGAGAUCAUUAAGAAAAUAAUCAAAUAACCUCAGAAUCAGAUCUAAGCAAACACAACAGACAAGGGAUUGCUUUCUCUAAGAGCAGAAUCACUUUUAAAAUGAAAGCAUAUCACUUACCUCAACAAGGACACCGUCGCCACUGACACAAACAAUACCAUCAUACUUUGAUACAUCCAUGGACCUAACCAUUUCCCUUGCAUGCAACUGAUACUUGGUUUCUAGAAAAUCAACAUUUCAAUUGUUAGUUUCAUAGAGAAGAGUUCUGGGAAACAGAGGGGGAAGAAAUCAGGAACCUUGAACAUCAAGUUGAAUGUCAGCAUCUUCAAACAAUGGCUUCACUUGCUUUUCAAAUAUCUUUAGAGCAGAUUUCUUCCCGCCAAAAGGGUUCACAAACACAAGCAACCUCUUUGGCCGACCUACAAUUUCAACAAAGACUUGCCAGUUUUAGCAUUCUGAGAGUUUCUUAAUCACCGUGUUACACAAGUUUCCUUUUUUUUUUCUUAAACCCUAGCUACUAUAAAAGGGUUGGCAAGAAAGGACUAACCGAGAGAGUCAAGGUAUUGACGGAGCUUGAAGCAGAAUCUAUUCUUAGCAUCUUCAGAGAAAGGCUCAAAGACGAAGUCUUUUCUGGAGUAAUCUCCACCAAACUCUCCGCAACAGAUACCUUCCUCUCUCUCCACCACUGUUUUGAUUCUAAUAUAUUUACCUUCCACGACGAAACCGAGAACGUCUUUCUUCACCGUCCAGUAACGGCUGGGUUCGCCGUACUCGAUCGCUUCUAAAACUCCAUCGGCGGUCAACUUCACCAUCCCGAGUUCGCCGUCUAUUAAGACUAGGUCGACGACUAUUACCUCCGCCGGAGCCAUAACNNNNNNNNNNNNNNNNNNNNNNNNNNNNNNNNNNNNNNNNNNNNNNNNNNNNNNNNNNNNNNNNNNNNNNNNNNNNNNNNNNNNNNNNNNNNNNNNNNNNNNNNNNNNNNNNNNNNNNNNNNNNNNNNNNNNNNNNNNNNNNNNNNNNNNNNNNNNNNNNNNNNNNNNNNNNNNNNNNNNNNNNNNNNNNNNNNNNNNNNNNNNNNNNNNNNNNNNNNNNNNNNNNNNNNNNNNNNNNNNNNNNNNNNNNNNNNNNNNNNNNNNNNNNNNNNNNNNNNNNNNNNNNNNNNNNNNNNNNNNNNNNNNNNNNNNNNNNNNNNNNNNNNNNNNNNNNNNNNNNNNNNNNNNNNNNNNNNNNNNNNNNNNNNNNNNNNNNNNNNNNNNNNNNNNNNNNNNNNNNNNNNNNNNNNNNNNNNNNNNNNNNNNNNNNNNNNNNNNNNNNNNNNNNNNNNNNNNNNNNNNNNNNNNNNNNNNNNNNNNNNNNNNNNNNNNNNNNNNNNNNNNNNNNNNNNNNNNNNNNNNNNNNNNNNNNNNNNNNNNNNNNNNNNNNNNNNNNNNNNNNNNNNNNNNNNNNNNNNNNGCUCUGCUUCCGUUGUUGCUGAGUGCGUGCAGAAUUUUAUAACUGCGAUGGAUUCGUUUAAGCUCAACAUGGUGGCUGUUGACCAGGUGUAUCCGUUGCUGUCUGAUCUCUCUGCUUCGCUUAGUAAGCUGAGCAUUUUGGCGCAGGAUUUUGAAGGGAAGGUGAAGAUGAAAGAGUGGCUUGUGAGGCUGUCUAAGAUGGGGGCUUCUGAUGAGCUCACUGAGCAGCAGGCGAGGCAGCUUCACUUUGACCUUGAGUCUUCCUACAACUCCUUCAUGGCUGCUUUGCCUAGUGCCGGUAACUAAAUUGUGUGUGUGUGUGUGUUCCUCUGUUACUUUUGUUAAGGGACUACUUGGGUAAUCUAUUUGCUGCUGCACUCUCUGGAUAUGAAUGUUGUGUAGACAGAAACAGGCCUUUCUUUUGUUGUGUAGUGACAUGCCAGAUUAUUGUAUGAAUCUAAAUUCUUACCUUGUUUUGGUUAGCUAUGAACUUAGAAAAGGUAAUUAGUCAGCAUUCAUCCAUUAGUAUAUUUAACUGCCUUUGAUAAGCUUGGUUGAUUGAAGCCAAAAAAAAAGGAUCAGAAUCUCUCUCAGAAUUUUUUUUUAAAAUGGAAUCUUUACGAUUAAUAAUGAGAAAAAAAAACACACAAAACAAGUGUGAUUCUCAUUUCCAAAUAAUGUAUCUGUACAUGUGAAACAAUUAAAUUACAACCACACGGGAACACCAUUUACAAUAAGAGAUUAUUAUACAAUUAAAACGUCAAUCAGUUUUUAUGAAAUAUGAUGUGUGAAUGUGUCUUCAUCUCACGUGUAGUGUUGUAAUAUUUAUCAGUACUCAGGAGAGAAGAGAGUAGCUAAACCUUGAUCAACUGUAAUUUGAAGCUUGUCGUAAGACAUCAAAGCAAUUUGCUCGCAUUUAUACGUUCGUCUUCCUCUUGCCAACACCUCUCCAUCUGCAUCUAUGAUUCCUUCCUUGUCUGGUUCGUCUACGAGUGCCCCCGGUUCAAGUGCAAAUGCCUUCACCUUUUUAUAUACAGUUAAAUUAAUUGGAAGCUUUUAUCCAAAUCACAAGAUGGAAAUUCACAAAGGACAUAUGGGUUCAUGGCAUCAAAUGGUAACCUUUAGAUAUGCAACAUAUGGUGAUUGAACAUGUGUUCCCUCACUUAUCUGUGUCAUAAGUGAUAGCAAAGCUAGCUUAGGACAGUUUUUCACGACGAUCAAAUCCAGGAAGCCAUCAGAAAACUGCUGAUCAAAAACCAUAUAUAAGAACGAAAUCAUUAUGAUGUUUUUUGGAAGUAAAUGUCACAAAAUGUGUGAAACUGACCUUUGCUGCAGGAGCAACCAAAUUGUUCUCAGCACCCCAGGGAACAUUAUGAAGCCAUACUGAAACAAAAGGGCCUUUGAUUUCUCUCCAUUCAACAUCUUCAAAUUUAGUAUCAGGUCCUUGGUAUCCAAGCGCCUUAACAGGUGGCUCUUUGUAUAGACGGUAACUGGUUGGCUGCCCAUAGCUUUCAAACCCAGGAGCCGGUAGAAACAAAACUCGUCCAUUGUAUUGUCUUAAACUUAUUAUCCUUUGAACGGCCUACAGAUACAAGCCAGUCAGGAGAGCAUUGAAUAUUAUCUUUAGUUGAAUAAGACAGCAGCUGAGCAAAAUCAGAUAAUCCACAAGCAACUAAUUAUGGAUAUAUUUCAACAUACUGACUACAUGCACAGUUUAAGACUUGCAAUGCAAAAGAUCGUCGACAGUGUUUUCAACUAAACAUACAUAGAAGUCCAUACGAGCACUACCCAUCCAUCUGAACUUCUCUGACUCUAUGUCUAUAUCAGCCACUAAACCUGAAAACAAAUCAGCAUUAAUCUCAACACAACCAACGGUAUAAUCUAUCUACCAAGCUCAGGCACUAUUUUCAUUAGCAAAAUAUACUUUCAUACCCCAAGCAAGCAUCAAGACGCUGAAGAAUUUGGUAUUUCCUUGUGAGAUAGUUGCCACAUCUAAAGAACGUGUAUGCCCUGCCAAUACCAAAUCAUGUUGCCACAUCUAAAGAAUUUGGUGUUUCAUAAGAAUGAAAGGAUGUUUUUGAAGGAGGCAAUAGCACGGAGCUGGACCUCGGAUAAUAGAGAUAGUAGCACUAUUUGCACAGCACUGAAGCCCAACCGCAUCCAACAAUGACUUUAUCAUGCCAUUACCAGUUCCUGGAUCCAAGAAUUACAUUGAAGCAUACAAACAGGGAAAAAAAAAACUAAAAAGGAUAUUUAGAAAUGUAUUUUUAGAUCCCUAGAAUGCAUCUUAACAUAUAGCAUCCAACCCCAUUCACAUAAAAAUUACUAUUUAAUAAGAACACAAAAAAAAAAAGCAAAGUUCUUAAGGGUUCCUCAUAGACCAGACCACAAACCUGCAGGGAUCACUCCAAUUGGCAAUUUGAAGACAGUUUUCCAGUCUGCUCUUUGAAGCAGUCCAUUUACAACCUAUUUAAAAUUAAGACACACUUGUAAAAAAUCAGAGAUCAUUAAGAAAAUAAUCGAAUAAACUCAGAAUCAGAUCUAAGCAAACACAACAGACAAGGGAUUGCUUUCUCUAAGAGCAGAAUCACUUUUAAAAUGAAAGCAUAUCACUUACCUCAACAAGGACACCGUCGCCACUGACACAAACAAUACCAUCAUACUUUGAUACAUCCAUGGACCUAACCAUUUCCCUUGCAUGCAACUGAUACUUGGUUUCUAGAAAAUCAACAUUUCAAUUGUUAGUUUCAUAGAGAAGAGUUCUGGGAAACAGAGGGGGAAGAAAUCAGGAACCUUGAACAUCAAGUUGAAUGUCAGCAUCUUCAAACAAUGGCUUCACUUGCUUUUCAAAUAUCUUUAGAGCAGAUUUCUUCCCGCCAAAAGGGUUCACAAACACAAGCAACCUCUUUGGCCGACCUACAAUUUCAACAAAGACUUGCCAGUUUUAGCAUUCUGAGAGUUUCUUAAUCACCGUGUUACACAAGUUUCCUUUUUUUUUUCUUAAACCCUAGCUACUAUAAAAGGGUUGGCAAGAAAGGACUAACCGAGAGAGUCAAGGUAUUGACGGAGCUUGAAGCAGAAUCUAUUCUUAGCAUCUUCAGAGAAAGGCUCAAAGACGAAGUCUUUUCUGGAGUAAUCUCCACCAAACUCUCCGCAACAGAUACCUUCCUCUCUCUCCACCACUGUUUUGAUUCUAAUAUAUUUACCUUCCACGACGAAACCGAGAACGUCUUUCUUCACCGUCCAGUAACGGCUGGGUUCGCCGUACUCGAUCGCUUCUAAAACUCCAUCGGCGGUCAACUUCACCAUCCCGAGUUCGCCGUCUAUUAAGACUAGGUCGACGACUAUUACCUCCGCCGGAGCCAUAACGGAGAGAGUUAGAUUCUUUGUUAGCUUCGCAGGUGAGUUAAGAACAAAGAAAUUGACUUUGUUGCUUGCUACUUUUUGUCCGAUCAGAUGGGAAGUGGAAACCACGCGCUGUAUUAGGCGAAUGGGUGAGAUGACGUGGCGUAACGAUCUUUAGUUACGAUACAAGUGUACAAAGAGGGCGGCUUGUACAAAGUCGUAACCAGAAACGGCACCGUUUUACCGAUUCAAGAGAUUAGCCAUUCUAUCGAGUCUUCUUUCUAGAUGUACAAGUCACUCCUCUUGAAGCUGUAAAAAAUCUAAGAUAAUUAAGCCAGAAGGUGUAGUAGCUAGAAGAAUAUCAUCUAUAUAUGUAGACUAGGAAUGUUAUAACGGGCCUGUCUGGCCCGUUUGCGUCUGCGUCCGUUUAUGUCCGUGUCCGUUUAAUAGUUGUCCGUUUAAAGUCCGAUUAAACCAAAUCCGUUUAGAGUCCAUUUAUGUAAAGCCCGUUUAGCUUUAAGCCUGUUCCAAGUCCGUUUAGAGCCUGAUUACUUUAAAAAACAUUGAAUAUGAUCUGUUUAUAUCAUGAAUUAAUUAUCUGUUCCUUCAAUCAAAUUUGUCAAAUAAAAUACAACUCCAUAAUCAAAACACCGAACAUUACAUUGUUUUGUUUCAGCUAAAACUUUAAAGUUUACAAAUCACAAAGAGUUCACAUUAACAAAAACUAGAAACAACAAUCAUCAAAUGGUUUUAGAAAGAGAGUCAAAACAUAACUAGAAUAGAAAGUUCAUAAACAUAUAUAUGUUCUAAUCAAUCUUGCACAAUGCCUUCGGAAAAUCCCUGUCCAGCUAGAAAAAGGAAUAUGUAACAAUGAUUUUUAGAGGCCAGAAAAUAACAUAUUCAGCAACUGUUUCAGCGUACAGACAUCCUUCUGGUCAGAUAUACUGAUAAGAUACCAGAAACUUACUAAGCUAAACAAACGCACAUUCUCUUAACCAUGUCUACAAGUUGUAACUAACACGUUAAACAAACACACAUGAAACCACAUUCUCUUAACCAUUUACACGGGACACAAGAACAAAAUAUGCUAAGCUAAACAAGACCUUUCUAUAAUCAAAUCAUAACCUAUCACUAUAUUUUCAUCAAACAUAUUAUAAACUGAUAUAAGACAUAACCGAAACACUACAUACCAGUGUUUCAUCAAACACUUCAAUCUUUUGAUGUUGAAGACUCCACUCUUGAACUACUUUUUUUUUUUUAACAUCUUCAUUUUCAUCAAAAGGUCUUCAAUUGUUCCUACAAAAUAUAAUAUGAAUCAGUUACAAAUAAAUAGUCAUAAAUGGUAUGUUUAAGCUUUUUUACCUUGGUAUUCAGCAAAACCACGCAGCAAAUUCCUAGUGCAAAGAAGAGCUUGGACAUUUUUAGGUAAGAGACGGUUUCGGUAAGGAGUUAAAACUCAGGAACCAACGCUAAAGGCAGACUCAGAAGCUACUGUGGUGAUCGGAAUGAUGAGGAUGUCUCUGGCCAUAGAUGAUAAAUCCCCAAAUCGAUAUUGGUUCUCUUUCCAAUAACUCAAGACAUCCAAAUUUAAGUUAGCCUUCCUAUUUAGCCUGGGUUCUUCCAAAUAGAUAUCCAAAUGUGUCUUUGGAUCACCAGCUCCACCUCCAAUGCUCUUUUCCAACUCAAAAAAAUCUUUCAUUAUGAACAUUUAUACCAAAAUUAUAAAUUUCAAUAUAAUGAAUGACUGAGAUUACCUAAAAUUAUACUAAGUUACUUACAUUAUAGUAAUCAUCUUCAAGUGGAGAUUCUGUGACAAUCUCAUGUGGAGUUGGCGCAAGUGAACCACCUGAAGAACUUGUUUGAGACAGUUUUUGAUACUCUUUAUAGAGAUCACUCAAACUUUUCUUGAGUUUUUCAGUCUCCAAGCUUGUAGUAGUCAGAUCCACUUCUUUAUAAGCUGCUUCCAGCAUAUUAAUCUUUAUUCUUGGAUCUAGAGCUGCUCUCAUAGCCAAGAUUACACAAUAAUCCUUCCAGUAUUUAUCAAACUUAACUUGCAUGUCUCUGGCCAUUUCUCUCACCCCAAGAUCAUCACAAACGGAAUAUUUCUCCAAUAACAAUGGUAUAUUCCAUACUUGUGUGAAGUAGAUAUUAGAAGUGUGAUACUAUGAACCUGAAAAAUCGGUUGUUAUAACACUGAAUGGCUUCAACAAUUCACAGAUCUUUGCUCCACGGUCCACUCAUCUACUGAAGGAUUGGUCUUAUAGUUCGGAUCAUAAGACUCCAUGCUAGCAAAUGCCUCCUUAGACUUGAGAGCUCUAACCAGCAUCUCGUAUGUAGAGUUUCAGUGAGUAGGAACAUCAAGUGACAAUCCAGCUCCACCUCUAAUUCCUACUCUCUCUACACAUACUGCAAAUGCUUCUUUCCUUUGUGGCGAUGCUUUCACAUAUCUCACACUCUCUCUAAUAUUAUGCGGAAGACUAUUUACUAACUCCAAGCCAUUUUAACUAUGAGGUUCAAAAUGUGAGCAGAACAUCUCACAUGUAGGUGAUUACCAUCACACAACAGACCUCCAUCGCUUUUACUUGUCAUAUGUAGCUUUCCCUUGAGAAUUCUCAACAUACUAUUGUUGUUUGUGGCAUUGUCUGGAGUAAUGGAGAAAAUCUUCUUCUCUAUACUCCCAUUCCUUCAAAGAUUCGAAGAUCUUAGUAGCAAUCAGAUCACCUGUAUGUGGAGACUUCAUCUCACAAAAUUCUAAAAUCUUGUUGUUUAAUCUCCAACCAUCAUCAAUGUAGUGGCCAGUUAAACAGAUAUAUCCCAUAUUCUGAGGCCUAGCUACCCAUAAAUCAAUGGUGAGAAAAAUCAUGCCAUGAUGCUUCAUAAACAGCCCUUUCAACUUCUCUUUCUCUAUUUCAUAUCUCCUAUAGACAUCAAAGGUAGCAGUCUGUCUACUGAUGUGUUGACAAUCAGGAUUUAAAUACCUAUCUCUUGUAGACUAUGUUGACCAACAUCAUUCCCAUGUAUGAUUUUCAAACAGGAAAUUGGGUCUCUGGAUAUCAAGCUGCUUCAGGUAGCUUCCAUUAUGUUGUUGAGUAAAUUCACCAGCUCUUGAUGAGAUCCUAACUUAAUGCAUAUUUGUACAGUGCUUUUUCUAUCCACCCCUAUCUUCCAAUGGCUGCUAUAUCCUUUGGUAAUGGACGAUUUGAGUUAAAAGGUACAUUUUGCUUCUAAUCUCAAUUGGCUACAUACAUUGUGAAAUAAUUUUAAAUGAAAUCUUUCUAUUAUUCUCUUUGUGGUCAUACAGCUGAUGAAAAUUGUGUAUUUCUCUGUAAUUUCUACGUGAUGUCCGAAGAUAACACUUGUGAUGAACAUAACAAUUUGGAGUUGCCAAUGCAAGCAGUUAUCGUCACCAUAAUGUCACUGAAGAGGAAGAAAACGCCUAAAAUAUUUUAUUAUCUUAACACCAUUGAGCUCUUGUUUAAAAAGAAUCAAAAAACAAUCCUUUAUUUGUAUGAUCCAACCAAAAAAAGAUGUAGCACACAUACACAUUUUAAUGUGAUCUCCAUACUUCAAUCUUUAACAUGACAUAAAAAUCUUUAGUUUUGGGAUCCAAUGAACUCUAAAAUCAAGCUCCUGAUGUUUUUAGAACAACUAGAUAAACUUUGUACUAAAUCACUCCUCUUCAUUGAAAUUCCUCUUGUUUUCACAGAUCUAUGGGUCUGACUGGUAAAUAUUGUAGCUUUAAUUUUUUUUGAUGUAGAAUUAUAGCUGUAAAUUUCUUGAUGUAGCUUUAAAUGUUAUUACUCUAGAAUUUUGGCGGUAAGAUCUCAGCGGUAGAUUAUUUAAAAGGCAUGAUUGGUAUCCAUCUGCAGCAGAUUAAUAUUACAUACACGUGUUUAACACCAUAUUUAAAAUGCGAAAUUAAAUUUUCUUUUAUUGAAUAAAUAAAAAAUAAUACCAGUUUGUAAUCAAAUUAAUGCCACUAGAAAAACUAAUAAUCUUUUAAAAAUUUCAUAACAUAAAUUAAUCAUUUAGAAUUUUGUAAUAAUUUUUUUGCAUAAUAAAAACAGUCUGCAAUUAAACUAAUGCCACUGGAAAGACUAGUUUAUACUCAAAUUAGUAUGACUUUGAUUACUAUGAUGACUGUAAUCAAACUAAUAAGACAUGAAAAACUAAGAUGACUUUAUUCUUUCAAUAAAAGUUAAAUGAAAUGUUAUACUUUUUUUGGAAAGCUAGAAAAAUUGAGUUGUAGACAUUUGGAUUUCUAAAGCACUUCUACAGACGUUCUUUUGAUAAAUCUGUAGACAUAAAAAUGUUAAUAAAGUCAUUGAAUUAUCUAAGAAGUCAUUAUAUUUUUGUUGAAUAGUUAUCUAAGAAGUCAUUAUAUUUUUCUUGUUUUUUCAAGCUAUUCCAAUCCUUUAGAUUAUUAAUAUUUACAAAUUUUGGACAAUUAUAGUUUUCUACAAUAACAAAACGAAUAUUUUCUAUCCUAUAAAAAAACCAACAACGUAAAGUAAAUUAUAAUAUUUGUAGCCAUUUAAGUCUCACAUGAGGAAAACAAUUUAAUAACAAGUAUUGCAAAACAUGUUACAUCAUUAUCAUCACUUUUAAGUGUAGAAGUACGAAGCGUAUAUAAUAUUCAUCUACUCAGUAAAUUUAACUAUUAGCAAUAUCUUCUUCUUAAACAUACACUGUGGUAGUCGGAAUCCACUAAAUUCUCAAACGAUUUUGAUUUACCAACAUAUUGGUUCGCUUGUCCUCUCUUAAACACUUGACUCGUUUAGUUCAUCUUUAAAAAACUAUCUAGCAAUUACAUAUAUGUAAUUUUCUGUUUUUGUUAAAUUUAAGCUAAAUAUUUUCAGUCUUUUUUACUAUAUCAUCACCACAUUUAUUCUCACAAAAAUAUAUGACAUGAUUUAGUGAAAAAUGUGGCAUGGCAUUCUUUUGAUAUGACAAUCUUAAUAAUAAAGUUUUUGAUUUUGUGUUAAGAUUCCUAAAAUGAAAAGAAAAAUAACAACUGAGUAUAUACCAUAUAUGUAAAUUAUCCACAUUAUUGUUAAAAAAAAUUAAAUAAGAUAAAUACAAGUAUAAGAAAAAUUUCACAUCAACUUAGUAUAAAAAGAUAGCCAAUUUUGUAAAUAAUUAUAUUUUUGUCAAAACUAAAUGUACUUGUAUCUUAACAAAUACAAAAGUAAGAUAAGUUUACUUAAAAUUCAAAAUUUUAUUGAGAGUUAGAUAUCCUAAAACAUUUUUAAAUCCAUAAAUCAUCAUAAAUAGGGGAGUAACCAAGUUUUUAGUUGUGGAAUUUAUUUGAAUUUAAACACGGUACAAUACAUUAAACAUUGGUUUGUUUAAAACAUCAUAAAAUAAAAAAAUAAAUAACAAAUAAUUAUAUUAAUUUUUUAUAUUUUAUAAUCGAUAGAUCAAAACUUUAAAUACUAAUAAAUUCAAAUUUUUAUUUUAUAUAAAACAAUGAAACAAAACACAAGAUUUUCCUUAAUUGAGUGAACAUUUCAUAAAAUGUGUUGCAUACCUUCAUGAUAAGAGAUUUUGGACGCAAUAUUAGCCCUUGAAGAAUUUGAAGCCAAUGCCAUAGGCAUUCCACGACCUUUCAAAUGUCGAAUCAACCUGUUUGCACCUGGAAGGGCCUUGGUCUUGUCCAUCCUACAAACACACAACACAAGAAAUUCAAGAACCAUAGAAACAAAAGAAGAUGACAAACAUCCGAAUUGUUUUCAUCAACACCACAGGGAAGUUCAUAAUCUUCAACAAUGGUAGUCGCUGCUUCUAAGGGACUCUUCCCUACUAUCUUAAGUGCUUGCUCUUCCAUUCCAUUGCCUUCCAUAUUUACACAGAUACUUCCUCAAUAUGUUAUAUGUCACCCUCAACACCAUCUACAAGAAAAAGACAUCUGUUGAAUACUGAAGUUACGAUAAUAAAACUGUAACAAAGUAUUCAUGUAUACAUGUGUUGAUUAAGGUGCCAUCGAGAUCAAUAAGAACACAAGACGAGAUCAUACACAAGUAACAGAGCAGAAAUAAAGAGGAAGGGUUGAUAAGUUGCACACGUGAGCUAAGAGAUUCCUGGUUCGCAACCCUGGUCGGCUGGUCCUACCGAACAUUUGAAUUAGAUACUGCUGUGUCCUGACCGGGUUUCUGAUCCUACUGACCGGUACGAAUUGUACGAACGACCGAGUGAACAAAAUCAAACGAUUCAAGUAAAGGAGAUUCGGUUAAAACUGAAUCAACCGGGUUGAUUCAGCCACCGCGUCCUCUCUCUUUUUAAUUAGUCUCAAGUCUUAACAUGAACAAUUCUUUAUCAAACCCCACCACGUUUACUUUUUUUUUUACAUGAAAAAGUUUUGUCUAUCAGACCAACAUGAUCCUUAGAUUGCAUUAUGAAUGUUGAAGUUAGCAGAGAAAAUUCAAUAUCUUGGUCUCUUCUUCUUUCUUCACAAGCACACACUCGUUUUACUGCUUGAGAAGGACCUUUUUAGUUCUUAGACAGAGUCAACUCCUUCGCCUUGUUGCUGUGCAAGAUAUCUCUCUCGUCGCUCCUUCUGUGUUUUUUUCAGAGAGGAGAGACCACAACGACAACGUCAGAAUUUCAAAAUCAUCUAAUGGGAAGAGAUAAUAGAGAGAAAGAUUCUUAAGAUGUAGCAAAUGUGACUCACCCAUUCAUCAAUCACAAGUCCUUCUCCAAUCAUCUUUGGACCUGUUUCCUCUGGUGGUUUCUUUCUUGCCUCCACUGCUGCAUCUGCUUCAGCUAGCUGACGCUUUAGUUUCUCCAGUGCCUUUUUUCAUUCAUCACAUAUGUAAUUAGAGAGAGAGACCAUAAGAGUUUAGUAUGUUACAGAAUCAUUUACAUAGGCUUAUACUCACAGGGUUGGGACGUUCUGGAUCCAGGAAGAUAACACGCAAUAUUUGCUCCUUAGACACAUCUUCCUUCUGCUCAUCAAACUGUAGAAAACAGAAACAAAAACAAUCGAUAUUUCUUUAAAAUGGAAAGAAGAUUCAAUGGAGCGUCAGAAAUGUAAGAAGAUGACAAACAACAGCACACAUGCUUGCUUUAAAUGUCUGCCUAGAGAAAGUAACUGGAAAUCUCUACUUGUUAUGUUUUAGAGAUGAACUAAAAUAUCAUAUGUUCCACUUGGAUACUGACAUAUUGUUACUAACGUUUUCUAAUUUUCAAAGAAGAGCUCAAAAGAUCAACAUACCAGCUCAGGUACAUAGUCCAUAGGACCUUUAACCUUCAGGCUCAUGAUUUUAAACUUAACCCUGCUCCUUUGGUCCAUUGGCUUCUCGUUAUUCUCAGGAGGCUCAACAAAUUUGAACACUGUACAUUUCAACAAAAGAGAAAGAAAAAAUAGUCACAACACAUGCACAGCCUACUAUACCCAAUUCUCUAAUAGGGAUAAGUGUAGAGAAUAAGAAGAAGAAUAAUUACCAGUGGCGAUAAUAGUCUCUCCAGGGGCAAGAAUAGCACCCGGCGGACGCAUGAAGCAACUCUUCGGCUCAGUUGUUUGAAACUGGAAAAAGAGCAACAAGGGUAAAGCACAUUGAAAACGCAAACACUCUGGUAAUCAAAAACGCUUAGAUACUUAAAAAAAAACAUACCUUAAACGCUACAUGUGAUUUGCUGGUGUUUUUAAUCUUAAUAGCGCUCCUCACUUGCUUCCCAGGCUCAUCUUCGCACACCAAAAGUAAACAACAAUCUGGUUCAGUACUCUUCAAUUCAAUGAAGAGGAAAACAACUGACGACUCUUUAACUUGUAAACACACAAACAAUAAAGCAAAGAAUCAAUCACUUUGAUAUAACCGCAAAAUGUCAUCUUUUACAGUGUUACUUGGGGAUCAAUUUAAAAAUCAAAACUUUUGAUUCAAAACGGCACCGUAUCAAGUCUGCUACCUCUAAGAUUAGUUCAUUCAAGUAAACUCAGGUCAACGUCUAGUCUCAAAAGUUCAGAGCCAUGCGACAAGAAAAUGAACAAAUCCAAAGUUACAAACUUUUUUCUUUCUCCGUGAAGUCAAUAAUAUCAUAUUUAUUUAUUUACAAAUCGAUCCAAAAUUAGAUAGUGAGAUUUAAAAUCAGAUCGAAGUUUUAAUUAGCUUCAGAAACAACCCCCCAGAUUUCCGAUUAAGAUGAGAUUCGAACAAACUCACAAGGGAAAUAGAGCUUCUCCGACGGAUCAAGCUUCAAUCUCCGUUUUACAGGCAGAAGCGACUUAGCGACGGACGAUACUGAAGGCGAAGGAGUCGGGUGCUGGUUUUGACCCGAUCCAUCACCGUGAGGUCCGUUGUAGCCAUGAUGGUGGUGGUGGUGAUGGUGAUUAUGGAGAUGAGAAGAUGCAGAAGAAGAGGAAGAAGCUCCCGACGGAAACGGUGACGUGGCGGCACUAGAGGCGUUUCCGUGAGAGUUUCGAAACGGGAUUUUGAAGAUACCCCAGCCUCGGCCGUCAGAUGCUGGUUUCUCCUCCGUCGUCAUAGUCAUCGGAGGUCGAUUCGCGGCGAAGAAACGGCGAGAGAGAGAGAGAGAGAGAGAGAGUUGACUCGUGAGGAGAGAGAGAGAUGUGUUGUUUGUUUGUUGGAGAAGAGAGAGAGAGAGAGAGAGAGAGAGAGAGAGAGAGAGAGAUCGGACGCGAGAGGGAGAGAGAGAAAGUGGAUUUAACUAAUUGACUUCACGUCCGGAUUUAAUUGAUUUAACGAGUCAUAGUUAUGUGUUGUGUGCUUGAUUAGUGCGGAAGAACAUCGAAUCGGAAAGUGGAGGUCGACUAAAAUAAAAAGCGAUCGAGACAUAACCUCCCAACGACAGCGUAUUCGAUUCUCUUACAAAGUCGUUUUUUUUUUUAAGUCAAAACAAAGUCAUUUUUAAAUGUUCGCUUUCAAGUCUUUUUCGUGGUUUCCAGAUAAAUUCAAACUUUUUCGUUUUUUUAUGUAUUUUUUUUUUAGAUCCUGAUAAUAUUCAGCGGUGUUGAAUACGUUUGAUAUGCACAGUACAAAUAUCGUACGGGUGGGGGGAUUGAUGACAUACUUUUAUCUUAUUAGUCAAUCUAACUCAUAUAUCGGGGUAGGAUUUGUUGUUUUUUCUUGAAAUCUAUAGCUUUCGAUAUGGGACUCAAACUCAUUGUUCUUGAGGCAACGUCAAAAACUUUCUUAAUGCAUACAUACAUGUUAGUCUUUAACCUCGGGUUAAGCCAAGGUCCGGGAAUGGGAUGUUGAUCAGUAGUGGUCAGGGUCGGAUUCUAGAGAAUUUACGGUCAGUGCAUAAUGUAUUUUACUCCGUGUGUUUCUAAAUAGAAAUAGACGAUGUUUUAGGAAGUUUUUGAUGUUUCAAAAUAGAUUUAAAAUAGAUGAUGUUUUUCUAUAUCAAUGCACUUUUUAACUUUAUCAAAAACUGCGUAACCAAUGAUGUUUUAUAGUUUCUUCUGUGAUUGGUUGAAUAGUUUUAAAUUUAUAUUUUAAUAAUAAUAUUUUUAAGAUAAAAAAUAAGUUUUUCAUAAUUGUGCACACUCCUAAAACUUCAUGUAUUUUGAAGAGAAAUUUCCUAUGAUAACUUUUUUAAGUUUUUGUCACAAAAAUAGUAAUCAAUGAAGAAAAUGACCAAAAUAAGUUUUAUUAAAAGGUAAAAAUGUAUUUUUACCAUAGGGUUAACUAAUCUAGACGUAGGAUUUAGAGUUAAAAGGUAGGGUUUUGGAGAUAGGGUUUCAAAGUUAAAAAAAAAAAUUAAAAUUAAAAUUUUCAAAAUAAAAAAAAAACUAUUUUGGUCAAUAUUUUUAGUGCUAUUUUGUGGCAAAAACUUAAAAAUGGCUAUUUGAGAGAAUUGCUCUAUUUUGAAACAAAGGAAAUAUUAUAUAUUGAUCCCGCGGGACUCUAGCAAGAGAGAAAAAUGAGUCUCAACAAUUGUUUUGUAAGUAAGGCUAAACUGAAAUUGUGGAAAUAUCUGAAACUCAAUCUCAUGAAAUCUUGGAGACACACAUUAUAUCUCAUUCGAUCCAAUAAAGGCUUCUGUUAUUUUAUUUUAAACUCUACCGUAAGUUUGAAAUCACAUUCAUUAGUUUAGGCUCCUAAAUACAUCCACAUACCUCAUUACUAUCGUAAUGGAAACACUCUUUUAUGUCUUGUUUCCUAACAUAAUCACUUUAUUUCCAAAACUAUGAAUUCUUUUGCUGCAUUUAAUCAUUGUCCCGCAGAAUUUUCGUAGAUCUAAUAUAUUUUAAUAUCUCUCUAUAUUGUAUUUCCCGCAGUGCAUAAUGUAUUUUACUCCCUAUGUUUCUAAAUAGAUGAUGUUUUAUGAAGUUUUUGAUGUUUCAAAAUAGAUGAUAUUUUCAUAUAUCAAUGCACUUUUUAACUUUAUCAAAAACUGUGUAACCAAUGAUGUUUUAUAGUCUCUUCUGUGAUUGGUUGAAUAAUUUUUAAUUUAUAUUUUAAUAAUAUUUUUAAGAUAAAAAUAAAUUUUUAAUAAUUGUGCGCAAUCCUAAAACUUCAUGUAUUUUGAAACAGAGUGAAUAUUAUAUAUUGAUCCCGCAGGACUCUAGCAAGUAGGAACGAGGGAAAAUGAGUCUCAACAAUUGUUUUAUAACUAAGGCUAAACUGAAAUUGUAGAAAUAUCUGAAACUCAAUCUCAUGAAAUCUUCGAGACACACAUUUUAUCUCAUUCGAUCCAAUAAAGGUUUCUGUUAUUUUAUUCUAAACCUACCAUAAGUUUGAAAUCACAUUCAUUAGUUUAGGCUCCUAAAUACAUCCACAUACCUCAUUACUAUCGUAAUGGAAACACUCUUUUAUGUCUUGUUUCCUAACAUAAUCACUUUAUUUCCAAAACUAUGAAUUAUUUUGCUGCAUUUAAUCGUUGUCCCGCAGUAUUUCCGUAGAUCUAAUAUAUUUUAAAAUAUCUCUAUAUUGUAUUUCUCGCAGUCGUUGUCCCGCAGUGCAUAAUGUAUUUUACUCCCUAUGUUUCUAAAUAGAUGAUGUUUUAGGAAGUUUUUGAUGUUUCAAAAUAGAUGAUGUUUUCAUAUAUCAAUGCACUUUUUAACUUUAUCAAAAACUGUGUAACCAAUGAUGUUUUAUAUUUUAUUUUAUGAUUGGUUGAAUAAUUUUUAGUUUAUAUUUUAAUAAUAUUUUUAAGGUAAAAAAUAAGUUUUUAAUAAUUGUGCACAAUCCUAAAAUAUCAUGUAUUUUGGAACAGAGUGAAUUUUAUAUAUUGAUCCCGCAUGACUCUAGCAAGUAGGAACGAGGGAAAAUGAGUCUCAACAAUUGUUUUGUAACUAAGGCUAAACUGAAAUUGUGGAAAUAUCUGAAACUCAAUCUCAUGAAAUCUUCGAGACACACAUUUUAUCUCAUUCGAUCCAACAAAAGCUUCUGUUAUUUUAUUUUAAACCUACCAUAAGUUUGAAAUUACAUUCAUUAGUUUAGGCUCCUAAAUACAUCCACAUACCUCAUUACUAUCGUAAUGGAAACACUCUUUUAUGUCUUGUUUCCUAACAUAAUCACUUUAUUUCCAAAACUAUGUAUUCUUUUGCUGCAUUUAAUCGUUGUCCCGCAGUAUUUCCGUAGAUCUAAUAUUUUUUUUUAAAUCUCUCAAUAUUGUAUUUCUCGCAGUUAUUGUCCUGUAGUGCAUAAUGUAUUUUACUCCCUCUGUUUCUAAAUAGAUGAUGUUUUAUGAAGUUUUUGAUGUUUCAAAAUAGAUGAUGUUUUCAUAUAUCAAUGCACUUUUUAACUCUAUCAAAAACUGUGUAACCAAUGAUGUUUUAUAUUCUCUUUUGUGAUUGGCUGAAUAAUUUUUAAUUUAUAUUUUAAUAAUAUUUUUAAGAUAAAAAAUAAGUUUUUAAUAAUUGUGCACAAUCCUAAAACAUCAUGUAUUUUGAAAUAGAGUGAAUAUUAUAUAUUGAUCCCGCAGGACUCUAUCAAGUAGGAACGAGGGAAAAUGAGUCUCAACAUUGUUUUGUAACUAAGGCUAAACUGAAAUUGUGGAAAUAUCUGAAACUCAAUCUCAUGAAAUCUUCGAGACACACAUUUUAUCUCAUUCGAUCCAAUAAAGGCUUAUGUUAUUUUAUUUUAAACCUACCAUAAGUUUGAAAUCACAUUCAUUAGUUUAGGCUCCUAAAUACAUCGACAUACCUCAUUACUAUCAUAAUGGAAACACUCUUUUAUGUCUUGUUUCCUAACAUUAUCACUUUAUUUCCAAAACUAUGAAUUCUUUUGCUGCAUUUAAUCAUUGUCCCACAGUAUUUCCGUAGAUCUAAUGUAUUUUAAAAUCUCUCUAUAUUGUAUUUCCCGCAGUCGUUGUCCCGCAGUGCAUAAUGAAUUUAACUCCCUUUGUUUCUAAAUAGAUGGUGUUUUAGGAAGUUUUUUGAUGUUUCAAAAUAGAUUAUGUUUUCACGUAUCAAUGCACUUUUUAACUUUAUCAAAAAUUGUGUAACCAGUGAUGUUUUAUAGUCGCUUUUGUGAUAGGUUAAAUAAUUUUUAAUUUAUAUUUUAAUAAUAUUUUAAAGAUAAAAAUAAAUUUUUAAUAAUUGUGCACAAUCCUAAAACUUCAUGUGUUUUGAAACAAAUAGAAUAUUAUAUAUUGAUCCUGCAGGAUUCUAGCAAGUAGGAACGAGCGAAAAUGAUUCUCAACAAUUGUUUUGUAACUAAGGCUAAACUGAAAUUGUGGAAAUAUCUGAAACUCAAUCUCAUGAAAUCUUGGAGACACACAUUUUAUCUCAUUUGAUCCAAUAAAGCCUUCUGUUAUUUUAUUUUAAACUCUACCAUAAGUUUGAAAUCAUAUUCAUUAGUUUACUUCAAUAACUUUUUGUGUUAGUAGUAAACACAGCAUCACGUAUAGGAAUAUUGUUUGCGCCACAUAUUUUAUUUGUUUUCUCCAUUAGAUAAGAAUCUUGUUGACUAUUAGUUAACAUGCCCAUUAAUUUGAUCGUAUACAAAGAAAGAACUUUCAUUUUUCUUGAAAUUGUUUUUUUUUUUUCAUUUUCGAACCAUGUAUCUUUCUCCGAUAAUCCUAAAUACACCCACGUACCUCAUUACUAUCGUAAUGCAAACACACUUUUAUGUCUUAUUUCCUAACAUAGUCACUUUAUUUCCAAAACUAUGAAUUUUUUUGCUGCAUUUAGUCGUUGUCCCGCAAUAUUUUCGUACAUCUGUAUAUUUUAAAAUCUCUAUUUUGCUUGACUUUCACUUCAUACUAGAUAGUAAUCCGCGCAAGCGCGGAUAAGAUAUCUAUAUUAAUAUUGAAAUUACAUAUUAUGAUUAUGUAUAACAUAAGGUAUACUUUAAAUAAUAGUUAGAUAGAACUAAAUGUAUGAUUGUUCUCAGGGACGAAGCCAAAGACUUUUUAUAAUAGAUUUACUAAUAUUAAAAUUUAAUAUAUGGUGUUUACAAGUUUAAGAAGAAGUUUUGGAAAAUAUUUUUUUUUAUAUUUCGCCUAUCACGUUGUAGUAGUUAUGGACUUACGUGUUUAACAAAUAAAAUCGAAAAAAAUGGAUCAAUAACAUAUUAUAAGCAAAACAAUAACCGUGUGAAAUAAAAUAAUUAUAGCUCCUUUAAAUUCAGAAAACAUAAUAGCAUAAUAAAAAAAAUUGAAGGUUAUUUGACCCUCUAAAUUGUAAAGGUUGCUCCAGAUGCGACCAGCACGUGAGACUUACUGGUGGUUCAUUCCUGGAAGUUUCUUCUCAUCUUCAAGGUCGUCUAAUGCAGAGCUCUCAUGGCGGCAAAGGUGGUGACACUCGCAUGCUUAUAUUGCUUGCUCGAUAGAAUAAUACACUAGCCGAGACGAUUUACAGUUAUUCAGUCUCCUCCAAACAGAGAUCACCUCAUCGAGCUGUAACAAAACCGAGUACGACAUAUUUAUCUAGAAAUAAAUUUUCAACGUCCUCUUUUAGCAAUGAGAGACGGUUCUCAAGAACGUGAGUGGUCUGCUAAAUGCAUGAAAGCAGGUAUGGAGAAAAGGGUUAUUUCAUUAACACUUAGCAUCGCACUAAAGUUUCAUCGUUUUGUCGUCUCUACGGAUCUGUCGACUUAAUGGCGAUAGAUCAGAUGGGUUACUGUUUUUAACAUAAACGUAUAGAGAAAUAAGGAAUUUUUAUUGAUGCUAUGAUUAUAUUGAGAGGAUUGAUAAAUCACGUAAUCGAACUUGAAACUGAAGGUUAUCACGUAAAAAUGUUCGUUGAGAAAAGUAUAGAUGGUAUAAAGUUCUUUUAAAAAAAUAUUAGUGUGAACGCAUUAAAUUCACAGUUUAGUUUUGGUGAGAAACGUUCUAUGUGUGACACCUAAGCGUUUUACUAAAUAAAAGUUUCUCGUGAAGCUACGUCACCACGUCACAUAUUUUGCCAAUAAACUUUUUAGGUAAGUUUUAAAAGUGUUUUUCCUUUAAUAUAUAGGGGAUAAGAAAAUACUAUCGUCAACAAAAAAGAUCCAAAAUUUUUCUCUAGCAAUACGAAACACAAGGAUACAAUUAUCUUUUUCACUUUUGUAAACAACGAGAUUAGUACAUUAAUAAACAGAAAAAGAAAAGAUAAGAAGUUUCCUUGUCUUAAGCUCCUAUAGGAAUAGUAGGCCCUCUUGGUUCUCCUUUAAAAUAAAUUUGCUAAUUGAUCGAUGUGAUGCAACUCAUCUAUCAAAAGGUUACUCCACAGUUAAAUCUAUUUUUUUAGAUGAUGUAGAAGUAGAACUUAAUUAAGAAUGUGCUUAUACUUGGAUAUUUGCUGCUUAUGUCGAAGAUUGAGACUGAGACUGCCUCAGGAUAUGUUAGAAGUGUAAAGUUUCAAUUUUUAUAAAAAUUUACUUUAGCAAACAAAAUACUUAUAUAUGUAUAUCUUUUAAACCAAAUUUAGUUUUAUAUUUUUAACUAAACUUAUUGCAAAGAAUUUCUCAGAAAAAUAUUUUGCAAUAUAAUUUAUAUAUAGUUAAAAAAGAAAAUUGUUAAAUGGUCCCAAAUUUUUAAGUAAGAAACUUCUUCUCGCAGCCAGGGGCGGACGCAAGUAAGAGAUGGGUGGGGCAUGUGCUCCAUGCUAUUUUGUCUUUUUCCUUAAGAAAUUAAUACUAAGUUUACAUUAGUGCUUUUAAUUUGAAUAUUCUUUACUACAUGGUCUCAUAUAAUAUAAAUUUGCCCCAUACUGUAUAAGGUUUUGGAUCCGCCCCUGCUCGCAGCUUAUUUUGAUUGUCGGAUUGUUCUUCUCCAGCGAUCAGCACAUGCUCGUAGCCUCGUACCAAACAUAAUCCCAUCAUUUGAUUUCUUUUUCGUGUUCUAAUCACGAGCGUAAUGCUUGCUUAUCAAGUCUUUUGCUAAUUUUUUUUUAUUUUUUUACGGUAUUACGAAAAAUAUUAUUUAAAAAUAUAUAUAUAUAUUUAAACAUUAUAUAGAUGAUUUGUUUUUAACUACGUCAACUUAAACUGUCUUAUGAAAUCCAACGGUAUUGUUUACAACGAAAAUCUCUUAUUAUAUUUUUUUUAUUAAUCUGCAUAUUUCGUUCUUUUUGAGAUUCUAAAUACAAACUUCCUUAUUUUUCUUUGUAUCUGAAAUACAAACUUCCUUAUGUAACAACCUUUUAUGAACUAUAUGGACUAAAGGACCUUCCACCGCUAAUUUCUUGUCUAUCUAAUGAUUUAAGAUGACCUUCAGGUGACGAUACUAAGUGGCAGUGUUCAUAGUGACACCAAACUCUCUUUGCUUUUCUUUCUCUAUGAGUUGGAAGAUGGGGAUAACACUUAUCCGUUAUGUUUGUUAGCCUGCGCUGGAAUAUCUUAGUGGGGAGGUAACCUAAUUUAGUAUUCAGAUCACACAAAUCUGAUCAAAUGUACAAGGAAAUGGUUAAAAUAUGUGUGGUUUGAAAGUGAAUUGCUCGGAAUUUGUUAAGGUUAUCAGUCAUGGAGAAGAACACCGAGAUAUAAGAGCUUUGAUAUAUGAUAUCAGAAGACUAAAGUGGAUGUAUGCUGCUUUGAUAAUGCUAGCUAGGAGCUUUAAUGUGUUACCAGAGCUUCUUUGGGACAUGUCCCUCGAAAGCUGAUAUUAUUCCCUGAUGUUUAAUUUAGCAAAAUUGCGUGUCUGAUGUUGAUUAUGUUUCCUCUCACGUAUCUUUCUUUUGGAUGUAUCAACAUGCAUUUGCAUAGUUUCUCGAAUUGAUCAAUGAAAUAGUUAUUUCAGAAAAUCUUUCGGAUCAAAUCUAAGGUAUGUAAUAUGAUAGCAAUUCGUAAUAUGAGAGUAGAAUGUCAAAUACAAACUCAUAUAUAAUUCAUGAAUAUGGAUUGCAAUAAGUGUAUAAUCAACUCCAAAAUCACGGAGGCUCUCGUAUCAUUAAGUUAAUUAAAAUACGUCAUAUACGAAUGAUUUUGUAUUUUAGCAGUAUUUAUAUUUAGCGCUGAGAUUUUUGAUCAACCAAUCGUGAAAAUAUUAAAUGCACACGAAUCUUUUCAUUUUCCAGAGAGUUCUCGAGUGUGUUGCUGUCGUUCCUCCUGAUUUCAUAUGAUAAUUUUUAAUAUUGUCAAGGUAGCCAUCAACUCUGUUAUCAAACAAGUCCCAAAACUGACCAAUUUGUUAUAUUAAAAAACAAAGUAAUAGGUAAUAUAAGACGUAUAUUAGAUAUAAUAUGCAUGGAAGUCUUACGUAAGGGCCUUAAGUGGCCACAUCAACUGCACAACCAUUACGAUUUCGUAUCAAAUGGAUCUCGUUUUUAUGUAUCAAAUGGAUCUCCUUUUUUAUGUAUAGAUAAAUGGAUCUUUUGGUCAUUGUCUGCUGACUCUGCUCCUUUAGACUGUUUAGGGUUCAAAGUCUUUUGUUUAAUACGAACCAAUUUUUAAAAAAAAUUAAGAAAACGAAUCUAUACGGGAACAAUCUAUAUAUAGUUUAUUAUUCUAUCUCUUACAUAAGUAUAUAUCAGUUGAGUUACUCCAUAAACAUAUGGCUCUUGAUUGCUAUUGCCUAUACUCGAAAUUGACGGCGAGUACGUUUUUUUUUUUUUUAUAACUUUGGUGUGAUACUAAAAGCUGUUUAGUUACAGUGACUAAUCACCAAGAGACCCAUAGAAAUCCAGGUUUUCUUAUCACUUAAAAUGUCUGUGAAUGACCAAAUGGAAUCGAACCCAGGACGGAACCUCCAGCUGGAACUUCUUUACCACUAGGCCAAGACCACUUGAUUAACGGUGAAUACGUUUGUGUUUGGAUAAAUCGCAAGAAAGACAAUACCACAUUAUAACCGAAAUUGUUUUCUGAAAUUUAUGGUGCUUAAAAUGUGUUUAAGAAUGUGUUUUCAUAUAACCGAAUAAAGUUUUUAAUUUUGAUAUUUUGUUGCACCUAUAAGAGCACAUCCAUCCAUGAUAUCUUAUAAAAAAUGAAGAAAAAACUAAUAUAAUUUUAGACAAAAAACACUGAUAAUAGGUAUUUCAAAACUUGAAAAUAUCUCAGUAUUUUGUUUAUUAUUUUUGAGUAUUUUCAUUAUAUCAUGAACGGAAGUACUUUAAUAUUGUGUAACCAUGUGGACCGCCGGGCCAAACAUAUGUAUAUAAUUAAUCGAUUAAUUCAUUUGUCAAAACGUUAAUCAAAGUAAUGUGAUUUGGUCAACUAUAUAUAUAUAAACGUGGGCUUCUCACCGUGGCAAAUUCUCCAUCAUGCGCAACAGCGCAAGCAACGCCCUAGCUAGAUUUUCGACAGAGUAUAGCCUAAUAUAGCAUUAACACCUAAACCUUAUCCAUAAUAUUUAUUUAGACUUGACUCAUUUAUUUAUUCCUUCAAUGGCAUAAUCUCACACCUUAAAACGAUUUCAUUCGUAGUUAGACCCGAUAGAUUCUUCAAUCUCAAACGCCGAGACAUAACCAUAAUACUACGGGGUCUUUUACGUUAUUAAAUUCAACUUCUUUAGUUCUUUAAAUAAUCGCUAAUAUAGGUUAUGAGAAAUGGUUAUGAAAGAGUUAACUAUAUUUAAGUAGUCUGUAUGUGUGAUGUUCCUAAUAAUUUGGAUCUAUAAGAAUCAGUGAUUAAUAAUAUAUAUCUAUCGUUUUAUGACAAAAAAAACUAAGUAAUCCGUGGAAUGUAAAUAAUAUAGAUUUGAAAGUGAUACGACUAUUCCUCUCAGUGCCAAUUAAAUAUUCACAAAUCUAUUGCUAUUCAUAUUAUUUUUUUCUUGAAACUUAUUCAUAAUUAUUUGAAGGUUAUGAUCAAUAAUUAAUCUAUGCAUAUGUAUUUUUAUACUGUAGAAUACUUUUUUAUUGUUAUGCUUUCUUUUGUAAGAUGAUAUGAAAGAAAACCCAAAGUUUUUAGUAUAUAUUACUCCAUCCGUUUCACAAAGAUAGAUUUUUUAGUGUUUUCACACAUAUUAAGAAAACAUAUUAAAUCACUAUAAUAAAUAUAUUGUUUUCUGUAAUUUUAAUUUUUAAUAAUUUUUAACCGAUAGUGAUUCAUUAAAGUCAAUUAAUUUUCUGAAAAAUCACAAUUUUUUCAUAGAAAAUACAAAAAAAUUGUCUUUGUAAAACAGAAUUUGUUUUCUAAAACAUUUACCUUAAUGAAACGGAUAAAGUAUAUCUUAACACCGUUCCAAAACAAUUGUCGUUGUGGUUUUUCUAUAUUCAUAUUGGGCACAUGAAAUUCAACAUCCAGAAAAUCAAAAUCCGUAUGACAAUUGUUAAAAAAAGGAACACAUGUCGUUUAGCUAGUGGUUCACACUAGCGGCCAAUGGUCCUCAUAUCAUGACAUGCAAAAUGUACCAAUGGUUUAUUUUAUUUAAGUGAAAUGAAUGAUGACAUUACCCUUGAUUCAUCAUGUGAGCUUCCUUACUCUUUUUUUGACAGCCACAAUGUUGUAAAGUGAAUCAAUCGUCUUUUGUGGAACCUGCUGUUUAGACGCCUUAGAGAAGGCUUCUCCAUUUUUCUGUCGUCCAUUCGUUAAAAACAGAAGACCUUACUCUUUAUAAUUUGAUUUAAACAUACAAGAAAAUUAAUUGAGUAAUCACACACUUUGUUUUAUCUAUAUUUAUAUAUAUUCAAAUACAAUAGUAUAUAUGUGUGUAUAUAUAUAUAUCUACUAAUGUGAGGUUAAAGAGAGCUACUAAGUAUCAUACAUAGUAUAUAUCUCGAUUUUGGAAGCACCGUAUCCUAGUGGUUAAGGUUUAAAAACUUAUACAUUCAGGUCAGGAAUUCUAAUCUGAGACUAUGCAAUUUCUUGCAGAUUGUACAUUAUAAGAAAUCGAGGUUUCAAUUUCCGGAAAAAGUGAUUUAUUAAACAAUUAUGCAGACUACGGAAGAACGACUUAUAAGAGAUUUUCAAAAUGUUACAAGUGAAUCCGGUCAGGUAUGAAUUUUCAUAGGACGGCUCUGCAGUUAGGCAUAUAUCCUCAUAAAGUAAGUAGUAUUGUCGGUUGUCGAAUCGUCUAUGUAAUCUUUCUCAUAAUUGUAAUAUCACAAUAAAACAUGAUAUGAGUUAAAGUUGAGAAGAAUCUUCGUAGGACGGCCAUGAUGAUGCACUUAGGCGUAAAUACUCAUAAGGUAGGUAAUAUUGUCGGUUGUCGAAUCAUCUGAGUAAUUUUUUUCAUAAUUGUAAUAUCAUAAUAAAUCGGCGUUAAAAAAAUAAAAUAAUAUAUAUAUAUAUAUAUAUCCCGAUCUGCAAAGAGUUGGGGCGUGUAAGUUAAUUGUAUUUUCUUUGACCAAAAAGGUAGUUAAUUGUAAUUUGUCAGGUGUACGUAUGUUUUCUAUAUUAUUAUUAACUAUCUUUUUAAAAGUGCAAAAAUUAGUCCAAAUGAGCAAAAACAUGAUAUGAGUUGAAGUUGAGAGGGAUGAACGAACGUGGUAUCUUCAUGUUGGCAACAGCUAAUGUGUAACCUCCCCACAAAUCUUGGAGAGGGACGCUCUUUACUCAAUUUUCACCUCUUUGAUGGUGUUACUCAUUAUCAUUAUUGUUAUUUUUUAAAAAUAUAUUCAUAAGAUCAUUAUUUAUAGUUUAUCUAACUAAUAAAGUUGUAACAAGAAUACUCAUGCGGUUACAAAUAUAAUGAUAUAUUUCCCUCCAACUUCUCUCUUGCUUGAAACCCUAACGCGAGUGCCUCACUCUCCUGUCAGCGGCUGCCGCGUCCCUUAGGCGGUCGUUGGAGCUUGCUCAACGGUGUCUCUGUGUCUCUGUUUCCUCUGUUUAUUUUUGUCUUCUCUGUUAUUUUAAUUGCGGUGGAGGUUGGGCCCAACCGUGGUUCUCCGGUUCAGAUCCGACGAUCUUGGUAGCAGAUCUGGGAUGUUCUUCACGGCGUGGAUGGGUUUUGAGGACGGCUCCUCUUCUUGCUUGGUCCUGUUAAAGUCUCGCUCCAGAUCUCUGUCUGGAGGGUUUUCUAUGCCACGGUGGUGUGUCCUUCGAGCUAGGCGGCGCGUGAGUGCUGGGUAAAUCUCUUUUGGGCGUGUGGCUGUGUGGUCGCGUCUCCCUUAUGUGGAUUUGAGUCUGAAGUAUCUCGAUCUUUCGUCUCUCCAUUUCAACUUCGGGUUUCUCCGGUGGUCGUGUGUGGAGUGCUAUGUAGGUGGGUUGUCGACUCUUUCCUGUGGGUACUCUGGUGGCAGCGUACGGUGAGGUGUUCUUCUCUUUUAGCGAGUGGUUUCGGCCGCGUUAGAAUAGUGGCCUCCUCUUCGAAGUAGGUUUGGGUCCAGCGUGUGGCGCUCCCGGUCGCUACCUCUCUCUCCCUCUUGUGUUUUGGCGGUGGGUUUGCUCUGUGGAUGUGGGUGUGUCUGUCGACAGAGACUAGGUUUCAAUUGAGCUUUCGGCCUAAUAGCUUGUUCGAAGGUUGUUUCGCCGGAGGAGCUGUGCCCAACCGAUCCCUUUGCUCUAUAUGAACCUUGGGUUAAAUGGAUGUACACGGUCCCGGGACUAGUUGGUUGGAGGCGACAUUCUUCAGCUACUAGUUCCGAACGACGGCAUCGUUGGUUCGUGGACACCUCCUCGUAUCGCCGGCUAAAUAAUUUUGUACGGGUUUGCAGGUCUGAGAUUGUGAUUCUUUUAGGAGGUCUUGAUGAGUGGGUUCCGAGUGGGUCACUCGGAAGUUGUAGGAGCCGUAGCAUCAAGGUUUGAGGGUGCCUUUCUCUCGGUAGCUAGCGGCAACCAGAUGCUCGUUCCGCUUAUUCCUCUUCUUCACAGUCCAUCACUGCUUCGUUGUUGUCCGGGUCAUUGUCUUGGUCUCGUCUCCUUUCAUCUUAGUAUAAUUCACUGUUUAGACUCUCUGUUUAGAUUUAAUUUUUGAAUCUUACUUGUUGCUGUGUAAUUUCUGUAAUAAAUUGAAAAAUUGUAUAAUAUUUAAUAUUUUACCAAAAAAAAAUAACGCUUAUGCGUCGACAAAGCUCUGAACAAACUAUUUCCUUAUAACUGCGUUUUUUUUUUUUUUUUUUUAGUUAUGGGUUAUCCCUGUACGAAAUAUAACAUGUUAAUCAGUCCUCUCUCGUUGCUCAAAAAAAAAGAAUCAGUCCUCUCUCAACAACGAGAUUUACAUAUCAUCGUCAAGCGGAUCUUAUAUGCUAUAACUAGAUAUCAUUUAUAUAGGUUUUCAUUAUUUGCUUGAUGAAUUUUUUUUUUCUUUUUUCUUUAAAUAGAUAUAUUAUUUUAUGACCCAAAACGGGAUUUCAAGUUUCGAUUAAAAGCUCAAUUUGAACAAAAUGAUCUAAAUCAAACGUAAACUAAGUUAGCUUCGCUCAACCACCACCCCGGCGCAUUCCACUAGUUGUCUCCGCAAUCCUUAGAUUAUCAAUUGCCGUUCUCAACCGUUAAUGGUAUCCACAAAGAAGGUGGUGUUCACCUCGUUUCCUCGGUUGCCGAUUACUUCUCGUGCCAUUACCGGAGUAGCUGGUUCUUGACGAUCUCAUCAAGCUUGUUCUCUCCGCCGACUUUAACCUCAUUAUCCGGGUGGAAGAGAGGCAAAGAUAACAUACCAGAGCUUCGAGAAACAAUAGGUUGUGAUGAAGGCAAACCCCAAAAUCGAGUGUUCCUUAACCUUAAAAGCCGACUCUCCACCUCCGCAACCGGAGACACCUCGGUGAAUAUUUUAAAUACUAUAGAUGGUUAUAUAUGAGAAAUUGAUGAGAUUAAUAAAGGAUCUUGUUUUUAUUUCUUAGGUUGAUAUCUCAUAUAUAUAUAUUUCACGAUCAUGAUGAAUAGGACCAACAAAACUUCAUAAUUUCAACGUUACUGCAACUUCACGAGUUAUCAAAGUUCCAAUCACUACAAGAAAACAGGGGGAUUCUGAUGGCCGAAAUCGUCGGUAAUUCGUCGGAAUCGGUCUAUUCCGACGAAUUUCCGACGAACCCGUCCGUCGGUAUCGUUUCGUCGGAAAAAAAAAAUUCGUCGGAAUUUCGUCAGAAAUUCUGACGAAUACCAAGAAACGUCAUUCUGACAAACUUCCGACGAUAUUACGAUGCGGCUACACGAGACCAGAGUUCAUCGGAAAACUACAAUUCCGACGAACGUGGUUCCUCGGUUUAUUCUGACGAACUGUAGGCGUCGGAAUUUACCGACGGACAUCGGUCGUCGGAAUAUACCGACGAACCACGUUCGUCGGUAUAUUCCGACGGAAAUGAGUUUGUCGGUAAAUUCUGACGGAUAUAUGUCCGUCGGUAUAUUCCGACGACCGUUGUCCGUCGGUAUAUACCCUUUUUUUUUUACAAAUUAAUUUUGCAUUUUUAUAUAUUUUUUGAUAUUAAUAAAUUUAAAAAAUUGGAAAUUUAAAACUAAUAAUAUUAUAAAAUUUAAAUUCAUAAAAACCGAAAUAGGAAAAAAACAUUCAUAAAGUUUAAAAUUCAUACAAACCGAAAUAGAAAAAAAAAACAUUCCGAAAGUUUUAUAAAGCCGAAAUAAACUAAGAAGAACUCGAAGACAUCAAACGAUCUAGCUUCUGCAUAAUCUCGGUGUUGAACUUCUUCUGGGAUGCCAACUCAGCAAGGAUAGUGGCAUUCUCCGAACGGAUAGUGGCAUUCUCCGAAAGGAUAGUGGUGUUCUGCUCCUCCAAUGCCCCAAUCCGUUCAUCUUUGUCAUGUAGCUCCUCGAGAAUCAUGGGAUCGGCAUACGGAGCUUGCGAAGAAGAUGCCGGAUACGAAGAAGCACGACGGGCCAACCCAACUAAACGGCCUCCUUUCCUUUUAGGAACCGCCUACAAAAAUAUUUAAAGUAAGUAAAUAUGGACAAGUAAGUAAUCGACAUUAUAAAAAAAAUAUAUUAAUAAAAAAAAUUACCUUUUCAACCAUCUCAUUUAUUUGCAAUAGAGACAGGUUGGUUGAAGCUCCCGUGGAGUCGCCGUCAUCAGAGAGAGGCUGAGAUUGAGAAACUAUCUCAGCUUCCACCAAAUCAACUACACCUCUGAUCACGGGGUCCUGAAUUUGACCCGUCGUCUUGUUAGUGUGAGCCACCUUAAUGAGUUGGAGACGAUCAACGGGAUUACCGUCAUUUGCUUCGAUCUAAAAAAACCGCCAUUAUUAGCCAAAAAAUAUAUAAAAUAUUUAUUUAAAAAAUAUAAAGAUAAAUAAUAAUAAAAAACUUACAAGUUCAUCCUCCUUAGUAGACAUGGAGCAAGCGCCGAGGUUGUGCACAUACAUACCUUUCCCGCCACGAUCGCUCUUUCGGUUCCUGGAGUUCCUAGAAGACGUCUCUGCAGUGUCUUCCCUCUCCCAAUGAGCUAUAAACUGCUCCCACACCCCCCCGUUGAUGAACCGUGGCUUCUUGUUCUUCUGCCAAACUGUCUUCCACGCGUUUAUCUGCUUUGUCUAAGAGUCCAUGGCCUUUUCGUUGAAUUUCUUACGGACUGUUUCCGUAAGAUCGGAGUGCCAGUUGAACUCUUGCUACAAAACAAACACAAUUUAAUAAGUAAAUAUAUGUAAAAAAAUGUAAAAACUUAAAAAAAAUGAAGGGUUACUAUACCGCAAACUGACGAAACCACAACUCUCGUUCGUCGGAAGGGAUCACACUCCACUUUGGAUAUCCAAAACGGAGCAUGGAGUACAUCAUCUGGUUGAUGCUCCGGCUAAUGCCAUUUUUCGACUUGGUGAACCUUUAAAAAAAAAAUACAAGUUAGCAAGUUAAUUAAAGCAAAAAAUAUAACGGUACAAAUAAAAAAAAAAUACUAACCAAGUGCUAUGGUCUCGUCGUGGGUUGAGUUGGAGAAACGGGAGAUGCUCUCGACCUGGUUGUUGAACCAAUAGAUGAACCGGCAUGACCCCCGGAUCCUGUUGAGCAGCAGCGUGAGGGGCAGCGUGAGGGGCAGAGGGAGCUGGAGCGGGAAUAUAUGCGGGAACCGAGUCAUGAGACGAUACCGAUGCACGGGAACCGCUCACCGAACUACGUCGAAGACGGGCUGCGGGGCGGGCUUCAUCCUCGGCCCUAAAAAAAAAAAAUUAACCCAUCAAACAUAUUUUCAUUUAUAUAUUUACAAAAGGUUUUAUAAACGUUUUAAAAAAAAAUUUACACCAUGCAUAAUAUACAUAUAUAUAUAUGUAUACAAAAUUAUAAAAAAUUUAUAAAUAUAGAAAAAUGUUGUUAAAAUUUAUAAAUGAAGAAAAAUGGUGUUAAAUAUUUAUAUUUUUUUCAAAAAAACGUUUUUAAAAAUCAAAAAACGUUUUUAAAAAUCAAAAAACGUUUUUAAAAAUCAAAAAACGUUUUUAAAAAUCAAAAAACGUUUUUAAAAAUCAAAAAACGUUUUUAAAAAUCAAAAAACGUUUUUAAAAAUCAAAAAACGUUUUUAAAAAUCAAAAAACGUUUUUAAAAAUAAAAAAAAACGUUUUAAAAAAUCAAAAAACGUUUUUAAAAAUCAAAAAAUGUUCCAAAAAAAACUAAAACAACAAUCCUAACUUAUAUAUCCUAAACUAUCCAUUCAAUCCUAAAAUGUUCAAUCAAACAACCUAAAAUCCGAGAUCAACUUCCAAAACCCUAAACAAUUGAAAAAAAAAAGGUUUGGGAUGAUUCUUACAUGAUUUGGGGUUUGGGGAAGAGAUAGGAGGGUGAGGAGAGGAUUCACCGGUGAAGAGAGGCCGGAAUCGCCGGAGAGUCGCCGAAAUCGCCGAAAUCGCCGGAGAGUUUUGAGAGAGAGAGAGGCCGCGGAGAUAACGAAGAAGAAAGGAGAAGGAUUUUUAUUUCCGUGGAUUCCGACGGACACGGGUUCGUCGGUAUUCCGUCGGUAUAUUUAAAAUAUACCAAAUGCCGAUUCGCGAAAAUUUUCAAGCGGUUUGGUUCUCCCGGGCUAAUUGAAAUUCCGACGGAACGUGUCCGUCAGUAUUUUCCGACGGACACAUUCCGUCGGUAUUUUCUGACGGAAUUCCGACGACUUAGUGUUUAGGGUGUUCUUUUCAAGUUUCUAAAUGCAAAAUCCAAACCUUUGAUAAUAUAUAUAGUAUUUGCAUAAAGAUUUAACAAUAAAAAUGUUUUAUAACACGAUUUUACACAACAAUAUUUUUUGUAGUGUAAGCUUAUAUAAAUAUGAUUGUAUAAGUACAUAAUGUUAAGAUGAGAUGUUAUGAAAACAAUGAUAUGCAUACAUAAAUAUUUUAAUGAGUUGUUAUAUUUGAACGGUUGCGAUCUAAUACUAUACUAAACACUUAUUAUGUGUUAUUUUCAUAGUUUUGGCAUCUAAAUUUAUAGAUUUUUAUGAUUGAAACUUUAUAGAAAAACAUGUCGUCGGUAUUUCGUCGGAAAAUACCGACGACCUUUCCAAUUUUCAAUGAAACCCGUUGUCGUCGCUAUGUCGUCGGUAUAUUGCGAGGGAUUUCCGACGGACCAUUAAAAAAAAAAAAAAAAAAAAAAAAAAAACUAAUCAGAAUCUUCUGAAUCUUCAUCAAACUCCCCAACCUCGGCUUCCGGCUCUGAAUGUACGACAGCAUCAUGUCCAAACACAGUCAAAUUCUCAACGAGUUGAACAUUUUCCAAAUCUUCAACUGCCUGGGCGUUGCUGGUAGACUCUGGUUGCAAUGGUUCAUCAUCAUCAGAAGUUCCAUCCACUCGUCCUCUUGGGUUGAUUUGCGUUACAGUAACCCAUGGAUCGUCUCUGUACGUCACCCGAGGGUAACUGAUGUAGCACACCUAUACAUAUCAAUUAUACAAAGUAUUAGUUCAAUAUAUAACAUUAAUUAAUUAUAUUGGUAAAAAAUUAUGAAUAUAUUGACAUACCUGAUCAGCUUGCGAACCAAGAAUGAAGGGAUCAUAAUAUUGAAGUUUCCGCCGCGAAUGAACUGAUGUAACACCAAACGCAUCAAUCUUCACUCCUCUAUCUGGGGUGGUGUCAUACCAAUCACAAUAAAAUACUACACAACGCAAUCCAACCAUUCCAGGAAAUUGGAUUUCCAAUAUUUCUUUUAUGUUGCCGUAGUAGACAUCGUCACCAGAAGAAGAUGAAACACCAGCAUCAUAUGUUGUCUUAGAAUGACCUUUCCUUGUGAAUGCAUAUCCUCGCGUACAAAAUUUAGGAUAUGAUUUGACCACAUAGUUUGGUCCCUGCACAAAUUCGCGUACCCAAUCAUCGAACACAAGACCUCUGGCCAAACCAUCAUUCACCUAUAAAAAAAAACAUAUAUGAUUGCAAAAUUAAUUAGUUUAUAUAUAUUAAAUUUAAACUAAUCAUUUGCAUAGGGUAAUAGGAUAUAUGACUCACAUAACUACGAAGCCACGCAGCAAAUCCGUUAUCUCUAAGUUGUCGAAGCUCAUCUUCUGUUGCAUGCCUGUGAGUCAUACGCAACUCCGCCAUAUAUACACUAUAUACAAAAAUAUUAUCAAUAUGAAAUAAAUUUAUUGAAUAUUAAUCUAACAAUAAAUGAAUAAAUAUUUUUACCUCUCAUAUUGUAGAACAUCUUCACAGUUGGUGAGCAAAUAUGUUUGCAAAUGAGCGUUCUCAGUGUCCGUAAGUCUCCGCUUCGUGAAUUUUCCACUAAGUCGUCCUAUUUCCUUGAACAUGCUUGGGACAGUAACAUGAUAUGUUGCUCUCUCCCCUCUAUCAUCAUGCCGAGCAGGUCUUCGGUGUUUUGUUUGCACUUCUGGUGGAAAAUAAUUUUCAGCAAAGAUUGCAGUUUCUUCAUUGAUCACUUGUGCCACUAUAGAUCCUUCCACCCUGCUUUGAUUUUUGACCAUCUUCUUCAGAUGAUGCAUAUAACGCUCAAAAAUAUACAUCCAUCUGUACUGCACAGGACCACCAAGUUCCAAUUCUCUUGCGAGAUGAAUAGCAAGAUGUUCCAUUACAUCAAAGAAUGAUGGAGGAAAUAUCUUCUCAAGGUUGCACAUGCUGACUGGUGCGUUUGUCUUCAAAUUAUUAAUACCCUCUUCAGUCAAUACUCUGCUGCAUAAGUCACGGAAAAAAACACUAAUCCCUGCAAUUGCUUCAUGAACAUUACGUGGCAAUAAUGCUGAAAAGGCAAACGGAAGGAGGCGCUGCAUAAUUACAUGACAAUCAUGACUCUUCAAGCCAGUAAACUUUCCUUCGCUUCUAUCAACGCAGUUCCCCAAAUUUGAUGCAUAUCCGUCAGGAAAUUUCACUUUCUCUGUAAUCCAAUCAAAGAACUCUUCUUUUAUAGCACCAUCUAGCCGAUAAAUGGGAAAAGGGGCCGUACCGUUCUCAUCAACGUGAAGUUCAGAACGAUCACAAAUAUCGACUAAAUCCAACCUUGACUUCAAAUUAUCCUUCGUUUUACCUUGGAUGUUAAGGACUGUGUUCAUCAGAUUAUCGAAGAAGUUCUUCUCAAUAUGCAUGACAUCUAAAUUAUGCCGCAAUAGAUGACUCUCCCAAUAUGGUAGAUCCCAGAAAAUACUCUUUUUGUGCCAGUUAUGUAGCUCUCCAACCGCAUUGACUCGAAUGUUUUCAUGUCCACCUACAUCUGGCGUCCUUUCUGCAUCAAAAUACCUAAACUGCUUCAACAAAUCUUUCCCACUAACUUCCUCAGGUGGACCAUCAAACACCUGCUUGUUCUUCGUAAACGAAGUCUUACUCCUGCGGUAUGGAUGAUCAGGUGGUAGAAAUCGUCUGUGACAGUCAAACCAACACGUUUUCCUUCCGUUCUUUAGUUGGAAAGCAUCUGUGUCAUCUUGACAAUAUGGACAUGAUAGCUUCCCAUGUGUUGUCCAUCCAGAUAACAUACCAUAUGCUGGAAAGUCACUUAUUGUCCACAUAAGUACUGCCCGCAUCUGAAAGUUUUCUUUGCGCGAAACAUCGUAUGUCUCAAAACCAUGCGCCCAUAGUUGUUGCAACUCAUAUAUUAGUGGUUGAAGAAACACAUCUAGUGAUCUUUUAGGAUGAUCUGGCCCGGGGACUAGAAUUGAGAGAAACAAAAACUCUCGUCGCAUGCACAAGCUCGGCCGUAAGUUGUACGGUGUCACAAUAACUGGCCAUAGAGAAUACUGCCUUCCAUGCUUUCCAAAUGGGCUGAAACCAUCAGUAGAUAAUCCAAGAUAAACAUUUCUUCUCUCUUCCGCAAAUUCUGGAUAUGUUGACUGAAAAUGUUUCCAAGCCUUUGCAUCUGAAGGAUGUCUAAUCUCACCAUUUGUGGAAUGCUCUGCAUGCCAUCUCAUUGCUUUUGCUGUGCGCUCACACUGAUACAACCUCUUCAAUCUUUCCGUCAAAGGCAAAUACCACAUUCUUUUGAAUGGGAUCGGAACUCUUCCCCUCGUCUCCUGAUAACGAGGUUUCCCACAAAAUUUGCAUACAUUCCGUGUCUCAUCCGCUCUCCAGUAGAUCAUGCAGUUGUCAAUACAUACAUCUAUCACUUCAUACGGUAGUUGAAGACCUGCAACAAGUUUCUGAACCUCGUAGUAUGAACCCGGUGCAAGGUUAUCCUCAGGUAGAAUACCUUUGACAAAAUCAGUAAUCGCAUCCAUACAUUCUUCAGCCAAAUUAUAGUCUGUCUUAAUACCCAUUAAUCUAGUUGCAGAUGAUAAGACUGAAUGACCAUCUCUACAAUUUUGAUACAAAGGUUGUUUUCCUGCAUCCAACAUGUCAAAAAAUCUCCUAGACUCGGGGUUUGGUUCUUCCCCUCUAUAAUGAUCAUGUACCAUCUGCUCAGUACCUACACCAUAAUCUAUAUCCGUUCUAGAUUCUUCUAACCUAAUAUCAGGCUGAGGUUCACUAACAGGCUGAGGUUCGCUAGUACUACCAUAUUCAUAACCAGUUUCCCCAUGAAGGUACCAAACUUUAUAAUUACGUGAAAACCCUUUCAUAUACAAAUGAGUCCAAACAUCAAAUUCUUUUAUAACCUUAUUAUUAUUGCAAGAAGAGCAGGGACAUCUUAACAUACCACUUUUUGCAUCCGGUUGCUGUUGAACAAGCCUCAUGAAUUCUCCAAUCCCUUGAACGUAUUCUUCCGUAAGCAAAUUGGUGUUCGGAUCCAAAUGAGGUUUAUCCAUCCACGAACGAUAAUAAACUUCUGAAGACAUGAUUUUCACGGAAUUGUUAUGACUAAAGAGAAUGAAGAGAGAAUGAAGUGUGAAUGAGUUGAAUGAGGAGGGGUUGUAUUUAUAGGAAAUUGCUUACGGACCUCCGACGACUUUCCGACGAAAUUCCGACGGAUGUAAAGAAGUCCGUCGGAAUUCCGUCGGAAUUGUCCAAUCCCAAACGGCUAUACAACGGUCAUAUGUAUUUGUCGGCAACGGUCACAUGGUUCGUCGGAAUUCCGUCGGAAAAUACCGAUGGAAUUCCGACGACUUUGAUGUUAAUCGGAAUGUCGUCGGAAUUUCGUCGGAAUAUACCGACGAACUUCCGACGACUACAACGGUUACAUUUUUUAUCGGAAUGUCGUCGAAAAGUCGUCGGAAAAUUCCGACGAACCGUAUGUCGUCGGAAUUCCGUCGGAAAUGGCCGACGGAAUUCCGACGACUUCAUUUUUUUGGAUUUGGUCGGAAAUUUGUCAGUAUUCCGUCGCAAAUGUCCGACGACCUUGGUGUCCGUCGGAAGCUCCGUCGGAAUUAGGAGUGUUUUCUUGUGGUGAAUAUAACAAGAAUUAGCUUAUUAAGCUUAAUGAUACUUUUAUAAUAAUUUUAUAUAACAAACUGCCUGAUCACCGUUCCAUCAAAGGUUUAACAUAAGUUCAAAUAUACUCGAAAGGAAAACAUGAUAAUAUUUGUUAUCAAGAAGAAUAUUUCAAAGACCUGCAGUGUUGUAAUAAAAAGUUUCAAAAAAAAAAAGAAUAUUUCACAAUUUCUUUUUGUAACAUGGUCGUUGCAUGUUCUCUUGGGUUUGAAUUUGCUUAUAGUGUUUUACAUUUUCUUAAGAUUUUUUCUUUGCUUACAUUUUCUUAAAAAUAUUUCCAAACGAAAUUUAGUUAUCAUAUGGAGAUUAUACAUGUAGAACGAAACAUAAAAUUUCUUUUUAACUGUAUGUAUGUGCUUUUCAUCUAUGCUUUUACAAGUUUACAAAGAAUAAAGGGAAUAUCGUUAAAUUCCAUUAUGAUAAAUGUCUUGUACAAUUUUGUAAAUGACAUGUAAGCAUAAAAACAAACUCACAAGAAAAGCCAAUAAAAAUGCAUGUGUACUUGUCUACUUCUGAUAUAAAGACCAUAAAGGUGAAAAUAAAACAGAAAGAAAAUGGUGACAAAAAAAAAACAAAAAGCAUGAUAAACAGAAAAUAUAUAAUCUGUUUUAAAUAAAAAGGACACGUAUACAAUCGGGAAACAGAGGACGGCACCGAACCAAUUGGACUUCCCCUCUUCUUCAAUCCCUUAUAAAUACUUUGUACUUUCCCUUACGUACUCCUAUGACCUUUGUUUCUCUCUUCUCUAUUAAUUUUCUUAAAGCUCUCUGAUUAGCUCAUUAUUGUUAAAGCCUGUUGACCAAUAUUGUGAUUAAUAAUCAAUCAUCAAGAUUCAAGAAAAAAAUCACAUGGGAAGAUCACCUUGUUGCGAGAAGAACGGGCUCAAGAAAGGGCCGUGGACGUCCGAGGAAGACCAGAAGCUCCUUGACUAUAUCAAGAAACAUGGAUAUGGUUACUGGAGAACCCUCCCUAAAAAUGCUGGUACGUCUCUUAAUUUACAUUUUUAACCAUGUUUUGAGUAAUGAUGUUAUCUAAAAGUUUCGAUGGUUAAAUUUUGUUUUCUUCACUUAAUUAUUAGGUUUGCAGAGAUGUGGCAAGAGUUGCCGAUUAAGGUGGACUAACUAUCUCCGACCAGAUAUAAAGCGAGGAAGAUUCUCCUUUGAAGAAGAAGAAACAAUUAUUCAGCUUCAUAGCUUUUUAGGAAACAAGUGAGUAUAGUUUUGAUUUUGUCGUGACAAUAAAUAUUUUCUUUGAACUAUUUCAAGAUUCUUAUGUGUUUGCCCUUUUAUAGGUGGUCUGCUAUUGCGGCGCGUCUGCCUGGAAGAACAGAUAACGAGAUCAAGAAUUUUUGGAACACACAUAUAAGAAAGAAGCUACUUAGAAUGGGGAUUGAUCCGAUGACUCACAGUCCGCGACUCGAUCUCCUCGACAUCUCAUCCAUCUUAGCAUCAUCUCUUUACAAUUCUUCUUCGCGUCAUGUGAACAUGUCAAGACUCAUGAUGGAUGGUCAUCGUCAGCAUCAACAGCAACAACCAUUGGUUAACCCCGAAAUACUCGAGGUAGCUACCUCUCUCUUCUCUCAAAACCAAAACCAAAACUUCGUGAUGGAUCAUGAUUCCAAAACCCAUGAUAACCACACGUCUUAUCAUCAUGAUGUUAACCAAACCGGAGUAAAUCAAUACCAGACCAACCAUCAAGAACUCCAGUAUUGCUUGCCACCAUUCCCCAGCGAAGCUCACAUUAACGAUAUGGAUCAUCACGGAGAACAUACGUUUGCUUUAAACUUGAAUACGUCGGUCCAAGAUUGUGAUAUUCAGUUGUUCAACGACUAUGCAAGCUCUAAUUUUGUAUUAGACCAUUCUUAUCUAGAUCAGAGCUUCAACUUCGCUGAUUCGGUCCUGAACACGCCAUCCUCGAGCCCGACUACGUUAAACUCCAGUGCCACGACUUACAUCAAGAGUAGCAGUUGUAGCAUUGAAGAUGAAAUAGAAAGCUAUUGCAGUAAUUUCAUUAAGUUUGAUAUUCCCGAUUUCCUGGACGUUAAUGGUUUUAUUAUAUGAUUUCAAGAAACUAAAUAAAAUCCAUUAGGAUAUAUAGUUGUUCUUUUCAUGUAUAUUGUAAUUUUAUUGUUUUUAUAUUUCAAAUUUGUUUACAUGUAAAAUACUAUUUUCUCUUGUUUUUUUUUAUUCUUUAGAGUUUAUAUUAAUACUAUAGUAAUGGAGUUUCCAUUAUUGAUUUCCACUUUUUAUUUAAAUAUUCAUAUUUGCCGGCUUCACUUCUACAUUUGCAUUGUAAUCUCCUGUCAAUAUUAUAUUUGAAUCAAUGAUAUAAUUGAUAUGAGGUGCUAAAAUUUCCUGACAUAGACAUAUAAUAAAUAUUUCUAAAUUAAGAUCAUUGACUUAAGAGCCCAAACAAGUGUAGUCCAAAUGAUUUACCAUAUACCAUGUAAAUUUUUAUUUAUUUAUUUUUCUGUGGUCACAAAUCCACCACAUACAUUCCCAGCAAGAUUCUUAAGUAAUACUACUUUUAAUUAAUUACAAAUUAGUAAUACUUCAAAUUAGUUAAGUAAAUGAUACUAUUGGUAAUUUGGUAUUUCCUUUUAUAUCAUCUUUAUGAGGCUAAUUAAGAGUCACUGGAGGCUCCGUUCCUAAAAGAUGUAUGUUUUGGAAAAAAAAUUUGUUUCAAAAAGAUACAUUUUUUACUUUUUCAAUGUAUGAUUUUAUGAAAAAUUGUAAGUUUCAAAAAAUUUAAUGGUGUUUAUUGAAUUUCUAUUGGCUAAAAAUUAUGAAAAAUUGUUAUUUACAAAAAACAAUACAUAUUUAAUGAAUUUUCUUAAUAUAUGUGAAAAGUCUAGAAUAUGCAUCUUUUAAAAACAGAGGGAGUAAUUAUUUCUAACUUUUUAUAAUUAAAGACAAUUAUCAUAUUAGGAUUUGAGUUUUCGUUCAUAAAAUCUACUCCCUCUGUUCCUUAUAGAUCCAUUUUUUAGAAAAAAAAUUUGUUUUAAAAAGAUACAUUUUUUACAUUUUCAAGACAUUAAUUAAUGAAAAAUUGUACUUUUCAAAAAAUACAAUUGUGUUUAAUAAAAUUUCAUUUGUUAAAAGUUAUUGAAAAUAGCUAAUUAAAGAAAAUAAUGUAUUGGAAAAUACAAUUUUAAAUGUUUUCUUAAUAAAUGUGAAAAAACUAUAACUGGAUCUUUUAGGAACGGAGAGAGUAAUACGUAAAGGUUAAUUUAUUUCCAUACGCUUUUCUAUGUAAACGAUACUCAGAGUUAGGGUGGAAUUUUGUGCUAAUUGUCAAUGCCACUUGCAAGCGGAUCCAAUCAUUUAAAUACUCGUUUUUGAAUUUCAAAUUUACAAAAAUACACACAAACACUUAAAAUGAAAGAUGUAUAUUAGCUAUAUCUAUCUAGCUUAUUUAAUUUUGCUAAAAACAUUUUAAGAAAGAAAAUAAAAAAUUAACAACAGUGUAACCUAAUUAUAAUAAAGAAUUGAGUAAUUGAGAAGUCUGGAAACCAAAACACAUUAUAUAUUACUAGGAAACAUAAAUAAACUAUAUAGCUACUAUAUACACAUUUUUAAAAAAGAAAGCUACUACUAUUCAUGCAGAAGAGAGACCCACUUAAACCCGAAACCGGCGGGAGUCGCCGGCCGCGUGCAGUGCACAUGCAUAAGAUGUCAUUCAUCUUCCCUUCAUCUUUAGUCUUACGUGCAGAAGUUAAAAGUGUAAUUAACUACUGUUUCAUGGGAUUACAGAAAGUAUAUAAUGGUCUUACGACACGUGUCAAUACAGUGACGAAUGACGAUGAACUGGCAUGUAAUAAAGGCAAAAAGGAAAGCCUCCUUAUUGAAAUCACGGUAUAAGUUUUUUGUAAUCGCUUUACACGCGUAGGUAUCAGUCACCAUUUAACAUGGAGCACACGUGGAACUUACUUAUGUGUUGUGAACGACGAUUUGUGUAUGAGCUGUUAUUUCUUGACUGCUGGAUUGUCCCCUUUGUUUAUUUCUUGUAAUUUUAAAAACAAAAGUAAAAUAACAAUAAUACUUUGUGAUCUGAAUAAAUGCUGUAAUUUUGACAUAUGAACGUGUUUUUUUUUUUCAUGUAUUGUUUUUCAGUGGACUCUCCAAAAGGUACAUUUAUCUUUGUCAACUAUUUCUUGCUGUAUAUUAGACGAUGACUUUUUGGCGGUUCUGUUCUUCUUGUAGGAGACCCCUAACGAUUGUUGCCAAAAUAAAGAGACCCUAAUGAUUUAUUUUUCUAAGAGACCCUAAUGAUUUUCUGAUCACUUCUAUAGUUUUUUUUGUUAAUCAACUUAAUCCACUUUUAUAGUUAUAUAAGGAUAGGUCUUCAGUUUUUUUGUUUGUGUGUAAUAUGUACAUAAUUAAUCUAAAAAGCACGUGUUAAAGAAAUACUUUACAGUUUAUAAUUAUCCCUUUGUAAUAAGAUGAAAUUCUAGGCUAUAUGUCUUUAUACAACCAGAUUAAAACGACUUUUUAAGUUGUCUGCAAAAUGUUUAGAACUCAACUAAGAUCAUUACCAAAUUCUUGUUUUCAAAGGUUAACUUUUUUUUUCUCUUUGUUUGUUGCUUCGUUUAACAUUUAACUUAAACAAGGUCGUCGAGUAUAUAUCAAAGCAAUCUAUUGACCAAAACAAACAAUCAGACAAAGUCUACCAAAUAUUAAUGUAAUUAAGCAAAAAUUGGGCGGUUGCGUAUAUGAAUUUAAGAUCCAACGCAAAAAGGUGAGUUUUGUUUUACAUGCUCCCGGUUGCUUUAGUGGGGAUGUGUCUCCAUGCUCGUGGCCAACAAGAAAACGUGUUUUUUUUCUUCUCGUAUACGAUUCGUGUUGUGUUUAUACUUUAUAAUAUACUAAAAACAAAAACUUACAGUCAAAUUUGGACGUUCAAAAGGCUUACCUAGUUUAGUUCCCUCCUAAAAUCAAUUUGUUAUUUGUUAUUUUUUUUUUUUUUUUUUUUUUUUGUUAACCAAGAGGUGUCUGAAUUUUAGGUUUAAAUAAUCCUUUUAGACAAGGGAGAUGGACUCUUUUUUACACCAAAACAUAGUAUAAAUCCUCUUACCACUGGAUUUCGAACCAGGAGCACAAUAUCACCAACGCAUGUGCUUAAAUCAACUGCCUACCGGUGGUGGUCAAUUUGUUAUUUUCACCUAAGUUUUUUAGACAGCUAAUAGGUUAAUACUAGAGCUAUAUAUAUGUGCCGAAGACAAAAAUGUUUCGAUUUCAUUCAAAGACAUUAUUCGGUUAUUCUAAUAUUAACUGAUUUUUUUUUUGUAUAUGUAGUAAUUGGGUUUUUUAAAGGUUUUUACGGUGUUAUUAUUGGUUUAGGUAUUACUCCACUAAAGAGAAGAGUAAUACUAUUAAACUAUUGUCGCUCAAGAGCAGCUUUAACAGGAGUAUUUAAACAAGGGUUCUAAACAUUAAACUCGUUAAAAAAAGAAAAAAAUAAGAAAGAGAAAAUACAUACAGAAGAGAGAGGAGAAUAAGUCCUUGCAGACGAAACUCUCUUGACGUUUUUAUAUCCUCAGUCGACAGCUGUAGUUUUUCUAAAGGCCCAAUUAAUAAAAAUAAAUGAAAUCCAAUAAUCUAAUUUAAUUAAUAUUAUUUUUAUUUUUUUGGAAACUUACAGAGUAUGUUUCUGUUAAUGUUGCUCCAAGAGCACUCACAGUUAGAGAUGGCAAUUGGGUUGUACCGACCCGCCUUGUCCCGCCCCGCCGCGGUACACGGUCAAUGCGGGUCUUCGCGGUACAGGCCCGCGCGGAAUGCGGUUCCUAGAAGAGCUGCCCAAUCCCGACCCGCGACUUGCACAAGCCUUGGCGGUACAUGCCCGCGGGACUCUGAUCUUCAUCAACACAUGCGCUACUGAUGGCAAUUGGGAUGUACUGACCCGCCUUUCCCGUCCCGCGAUCUCUAUCCUGAGCAUAUCACCUGCAAGAAAAAGAGACCAAUAGAGAUGAGAACACAACAUGUCCUAUGAAUCAGUUGAACAUAAUGAUGCUCAGCCAAAGGAUUGAGAAUCAUAUCGAAAGCGCACAUAGAAACUCAAUGUAACAUAGAAACAUAGAAAGAAAGAGAUCUAUGUAAGAACACAAGUAUAUACUAGUAACCUAGUUAUUGUGUAAUUAUCAUAGAAACUCAAUGUAACAUGUUAUUAUAGAUCAGAAUGAUAGUGUCCUUCAUAUGCUCAUAUCAUUCUCCUCCUUUAUCAUAGAAACGACUUGCAACCUGCAUGUCAGUUCAUGUGAACAUUGCAUACCAAACACCAACAUCAAAAUAAUGCAUAUUAGUAAAUGGAAUCAAUGUUUUACAUAAGAGACAGAACAUUAAAACAAAGCUGAUUGAAACCGUUGUAGCUUUGUUUUCAAGAAACAACACGAGUACAUAACAUGAGUAAUUACUGUAAUUUCAGUUCAGUGUUUUAAUAUAAAUGGGUUAGAAUAAGUUGAUCAGCCGAAGCUUAUGUAAUGGUGUAGUAAUCUAUGUAUUUUGCAUACAAACCAUAUUUGAUUACAUUAAGGAGUUUUAAUGAAAAAACUUCUUUAAAAUAUGAGUGAACGAUGGCAAAUCCAAGUAUUGUAAAUGAACACCAAAACAAAAUCCAAGUAAUGUAAUGUGGCCUCGGUAAAAACCUUAUCGGGAAAACCCAUUGGGACAAAACCCGACAAGGGAAAAAGAGCGCCACGAAAUCCAUAAUAUAAAUAAAAUAAAAACACCAUAUCAAAAUAAAAAUCAAGUUUCUUCUUCUUCAACUUCAUCAUCAGACCACGGUACUGUCUCGUCUUCAUCAACUAUUUCAUCUUCUGGAAAUAUUAAAAAAAAAUCAAAGUUAAUUAGAUUUAAAGAACAUGGCACCUAAAAUAUAUAACAAAGUGAAUAAUUUACCAUGUUCAGAAGCUUCGAAUCCUUUUAGUCAAUUCCUACUACAUAUCAGAGCUUGGACAUUUUUGGGAAGUAGACGACUCCUGUAUUUGUUCAGAACUCUUGAACCGAUGCUAAAGGAGGAUUCUGAAGCCACUGUUGUGAUCGGAAUGCUAAGCAGAUCACAAGCCAUUGCUGGCAAAUCACCAAACCUGUGAGUAUUAUCUUUCCACCAGUUGAGAAUAUCCAAACUUUCAAAGCUAUCCAUAUCUAGCGCAGGUUCAUCCAAAUAAGCUUGGAGAGUUGUCUUUCCACUCGCAGCAACACUACUUUUGCGAAACGCAAAAAAAUCAUGUAGUGUUUAAAAAAAAUUAAAAACAAUUUGAUGGAAUAUCCAAACUUUCAAAGCUAUCUUAGCGCAGGUUCAGAAUUAAUUAAAAAAAAAAUGAAACAGGAAACUUACACCAUAGUUCUCAAAUGUUCCUUUUGGUCCUCCACAAACAUUUUGUUGAUCCAUCUCACGAGGCUCUGCAGAAGGUGAUGUUGACUUUGAUUUUUUGUCGUAUGAUUCAAACAAAGUUUCCAGCUUCAGACGCAAGUUCUUCAUUUUUGCAUCACGUGUACUCAUGUCAAGUCUCCCUAAACAAUAUUCUACAACUGGAAGCUUCAGGCGUGGAUCAAAGACAGCUGUCUUUGCAAAAAGAUCACUGACUUCUUCCCAAUACUUAUCGAACUUCUCUUUCAUCGGUAUCACCAUGUCUCGGAUAAUCUCAUCAUCGCUUUCCUCAUUUUUCUGCAGCCAAUUAUGGAUCUUCCAUACCUGAUAGAAAUACAAGUUCGAUGUUGGGUAUUUCGAACCUGACAUCAAACUAGUAAUCUUAGCAAAAGGCUCCAAGAAAACACAUAUUUUCGCAGCUCUGCUCCAUUCUGUAGCUGUAGGCAUAAACUUAUAGUUUCUCCUAUCAUAUAUCUCCAACUUAACAAACGCUUCACGGUACGGAAGGGCUCUUUCAAGCAUAUAGAAUGUCGAGUUCCAUCUUGUCUGCACAUCCAUUAUCAAACCAGCAUUCUCCUUUAUACCAGCAGCAUCCACGCAUUUUGCAAACGUCAUCUCACGCGUCUCUGACGCUGUUACAUACUUAACACUCUCUCUAACUUUGUGCAAAGAGUCUUUAAUAACCUUCAAACCAUCUUGCACAAUGAGGUUGAGUAUGUGAGCUGCACAUCUGACGUGAAAAAACUCACCUCCACACAACAAAUCAUUGCUUAAAAGCACCUGAGUUUUCACUAUAUCUUGCAUCGAAUCAUUACUUGUAGCAUUGUCUAAUGUGAGAGAGAACAUUUUUUUCUCUAGUCCCCAUUCUUCCACAGAUUCAAGAAGCUUUAAAGCAACAUUCAUACCUGUGUGAGGCGGUGGGAGAGCACAAAAAGUUAGUAUUUUACUGUUCAGCUUCCAAUUCCGGUCAAUGUAAUGUGCUGUCAGACACAUAUAACCCUCCCAUUUCAAUGAUGACCACAAAUCAGAAGUGAAGCUUACUCUUCCAGGAAGACUAGCCAACUCCCUCUUCAAUGUUUCUCUCUCGUUUUCAUAAAAACGAUAGACCUCUGCUUUAACUGUGUUCCGACAAAUGAAUUUGACAUCAUGAUUCAAGUGCUUCCAAGUUUCUCGGACUUGCUCAUACUCAACAUAAGAGUAAGGUAGGUCAUGCUGAAUUAUAGUCUUGGUUACCAGCUGCUUAAACACAACAUGAUCAUACUUGCCACUUACUAAUUUGGCUUCAGCAUCAAUUUUUUGGUUCGGAGAUUCCUUGGAAAGAGUUUGCAUCUAUCACGAUGCCUUCUCAAACCACUUGUUCCAUGCCCGUGGGAACUCCAUGCAUAGUCAUUCUUACAAUAAUUGCAUUUAGCUUUCUCCUCACCAUUAGAAUUUCGAAUCUUAGUAAAAUGGGGCCAUACAUCAGACCAUUGCCUACCCUCCUUCUCGUUCUCCAUCUCCUUCUCCAUCUCGUCCUCUUCAAAUUCACCUUCCGAAUCAAGCUGCUCCUCUUGAAUCUUCUUCUUUUUCUUACCAUUGCUUUGUGUCAGCCUGGAACUCUUUCUCCCCCCACGGAUGGUAAAAUGAAUAGAUCUGGUUUUGGUUUUCCUUUUACUGGCCUUAGAAGAGGAUCCAAUGCCACCGUCUAGAGUAGACUGUAUCAUUGGUUUUUUUUAUUUCAAGGCUUGCCCGGUUCCGCAGGUGGAUUGUUUGCGCAGAGUAGUAGCUUGGGUUGGUGGAGGAGUGAUUUCAACAUCACUAUCAUCUUCAUCAUCAGCAACCUCAAUAAGCUUUCUUUUUCUUCUGUGUUUCUUUUUUUUUCCAUCAGAUGAACCAGAACCAUCAUCAGCCUCGUCAGCUGCCAAAAGAACUCCAAUGAGUCGCUGACUCUCUAAAUCCAUUGUAUUCAAGGGCGUAAAAUUUGGAUCGAAACUUGAAUCAUCAUCUGUCAUCUUUUUCUCUCUUCUUCGUUAGGUUUAGUUUCUGGUUGUUUCUUUUUGGCUUUAGUCGUGAAAGCCGUAAAGCCGUAAACUGUUUAGGUAAUAUUGUUUUAGGGUUUUGUUUGUAUUUUUAUGUAAUUUUAAAAAUUAUACCAAUUAUUUACUUAUUUCCCAUUGGUCAGAGACUUAAGAAUUAUAAGAAAUUUUUAUUAUCUAAAUUAUUAGACUAAAAGAUCAAGUCUCAUAACGUAAAUUGUUUAGGUAAAAUUGCACUCUUCGUACUUUUAUCUUAAACAUUGCACUCGUCUACAAGAAGAAUUCUUGUUUCUCCCAAGGGCUAGUCCUUUAGCUAAUCCUUGUCUUACACGGUUACACCUAGAUUCAUCGAGCCCUCAAGUGCAGCUGAGAAUUUGGCAAUCAACUUAGUCUCACUGCCGAAUGCGUAGACAGUUCGCACCAAAGAGAUGGCUUGCUCAGCAAUAGAUCCAGCUUCUUUGUACUCUUCCCGUAUUUUCCUGGUGAUGCUGAUGAGGGAUCGUCCGUACAUCAAUCCAGGGAUCAAGAGGAGAACGAUGAAUGGGAAGCCUACGAUUGCGAGUUUCCACAGCAUGAUGAAAGCCACUACGAUUGCGUGUCCCCAUCAUCGUCACCGGUAACGAUUUCUCCACCCUCUACACCCUCUACGCUCCUCUCAUCCGUGAUGGACGUAUGGAGAAGUUCUACUGGGCCCCGACCCGUGAGGACCGUAUCGGUGUUUGCAAGGGUAUCUUCAGGACCGACAAGAUCAAGGAUGAAGACAUUGUCACGCUUGUUGACCAGUUCCCUGGCCAAUCCAUCGGUAAUAAAAAAAAAUAUUAGUACCUUUAUGUUUGUUGGUGCAUUGAGGGCGAGAGUGUACGAUGAUGAGGUGAGGAAGUUCGUUGAGGGACUAGGAGUGGAGAAGAUAAGCAAGAGGCUGGUGAACUCGAGGGAAGGUCCUCCAGUGUUCGAGCAGCCGGAGAUGACUCUUGAGAAGCUUAUGGAGUAUGGUAACAUGCUUGUGAUGGAGCAAGAGAACGUCAAGAGAGUACGUCAAGAGAGUCCAGCUUCACUGUGUAACUUGCGUUGCAGGUAAAAGUGCACAGUAAGUGAAUUUGCCGGUUCAGGACUUUUGAGUUGAUCAAGUUGUUUAUGACCUGGGAUGUAAUAAAGACCGAGACUAGUUGAUCUUCACAGAGGAGAUGGAAACCAUAUCAGGAAUUUUGAGUUGAUCAAGUUGUUUAUGACCUAACCGAAGCAAAUACUCGAUGUACUGAAAGGAGUGGUGAAAGAACGUACGAUGAUCAAUGAUAGAGACCAGUCUUUGCGGAUCUCCGCGCGUCCCGCGGGAUACACCGAACCCAUCCCGCUUCUGGCCCGAUCUCGCACAAGCUCAUCCCGCGAAACCCGCAAAAAAUUCGGGCCUGGAUCUUAGUAACCAAUCCCGCCCCGCAACAGGUUCAAACGGGCUAGACCCGCGGACAGGUUCAAAUUUUGACAUCUCUACUCACUGUCAUGGGUAUCUCUUAUAGUAUCUGAUCACAAAAAAGAAAAAAUUUAAAAUAUAAAAAAAGAAGUGAGGGAAAUACACGAUGAAGAGCGAUAGGAAAUACACGAUGAAGAGCGAUAGGAAGAGACAGACAAUCCUUCUCCGAGGGACUUUUAGAACAAAUUCAAGAGACGUACGUGUUAUAUCAUAAUUAGCUUAGUCUCUAUAAUUUGUUUUAAAUAAUUAUUUACAACAAACUAUUAUUAUUAUAAUGAUUAGAGACUCUUUAACCAUUUCAACCACUAGUGAUGUUCUAUGUGAACUCUGAUAGGAGUUAUUUAUUGUCGGUCAGUACGGCCAGAAGCUUCUAUAAUCACAGGUUUUUGCUGAUAUAACGGCCACGUAUUUCCAUACGUCAUUUACACAUCAAUAUGAGAGGUGUCCAUUUCCCCCGGACUAUUUAUACAAACGAAUUUUUUUUAUAGAAAAUGAAAAAACUAUAAAUGAAAUAAAGAAAAUCAGACAUUACCAAUGAGUAGAUAGACAUAUAUAUAAAACUAAAUUAUUUUGGAAGACGUUAUACGAAUAAACAAUGACAUCAUACAAUUUUCAAUUUGAUGAAUUAAAUUUAAUAAAAUAGUAUAUAAUUUAACCUUUACCCAAAGCUAUAUAUAUUGAAGUUAAGUUAGUCUAUUAAUUAGAAACCUUUGAAUAUACUUGAAACCCUAUCAAUAUGUGUGAUAGAUGCUAACACAUAUAUAUACACUUAAUUAUUGUGAUGGGUUGCCUAUGUUCUGCAAUCGAUACUGAACUAAGAUUUUGUAAAGUCAAAUAAAAGAAGCAUUAUCCAAUCAUGGCUAGCCCAUAAAUAUGAAUUAAGAAUUUGGAAAACGGUUUUCUUGCAAGAAAAGCAAAAGAACAAAAGUGUUAUAAAUCAAGUAAUGAAUGUCCAUAACCGGUCCGGUCCAUAAACCAACCCAUACCAAAAGAGAUAAUCGAAACCCUAGAGAGAGGGGAGAGAGCAGCUGCAUGUCCUAGAGGAGAGAGAGAGGCGGCCACAAGCUUAGAGAAAAGGAAUCCCUUUUCAUUUUCCUAGUAGAUGUAAUCUUUCCAUUUAUGUAUUUAGUAGUUAUCAUAAAUCUAGUAAGAUUAUGAUUUGUACUAUUUCUAUUUAUCUCUUCUUGUAAUCCUUAUAUAAGGAACCUAAUAUUAUGAAAUAAUAACACAGAACUAUUCAGUUUUCAAUCUUCUAAUUACAACACGUUAUCAGCAUGAUUGUUCUCUGCAAUCUAAGCUAAAAACCUAAAACCCUAAAAUCCCUAACUCAGCCGGCGACCACGCUAAACCCUAAGGUGUUUCCUGUCCGUCUCAGACCUCGACGAUCAGCUCAACUCCUUGGCGUUCCCUGCUCGUGUCCUGACGUCCUCAGCCAGCUCGUGUUCGUGAUCAACCAGCUCGCACCAGACGACAAUCAGCUUCAGCUCGCAGACGAGUGCAGCCGGCGAACGUUCCCGGAUGAUCAGCGAUCAGACAUCAUCCGUCUUGCAUUCGAGGUCCAUCCGUUCUCCCUAGGUGGUCCGGCUCAACCCUACAAAGACUAAGGCAUACCGUUAGUCUGAGAACGUUAUGAUCAAACCCUAAAACCCUAAUCCAUUAUUAUGGAAUUCUAUGAUCUUGAUCAAACCCUAAAAUCAGUAUAACCUAAAAACAACAAUCUCAUAACUAGCAAUUGAAUCGAUUCCAACUAGAACAUGUUUGAUUGUUUAUUUGUUUCUAAUCUGAAGUUAUGAAACCCUAAUAUUGGAAUCGAAACCCUAAACCCUAGAAACUUGAAUUCGAUUUUAAUGGUUCUUGUUUUGAUUGUUUGAUUGUUUGAUUGAUGAUCUGAGGUUAUAGGAUUGAUAGAUAGAUUGUAUAAUCUGAAUCUUGAAUUUGAAUCCUAAAGGCCUUGAAACCUUGAUCACAUAUUGCUAAAAUCAACUCCUAGCAUUGUUUAAAUCAAAACCCUAAUUUCAUAAAUAAGAAAUUGAAUUGGCUAAGGUUGUUUGCAUAAGUUAUGAAACUGAAUUUGAAUUGCAUUCGUCUUGUUUCUAAAUAUCGACCAACAUAUAGAUUUUACAAAAUUGAAUUGUUUGCAUCACAAAAUUGUAUGGUCGUGUGGCCUGAUCUAUUUGUUACUAUGUUUGAUCCGCACCAUUGUCGAUUAGAUUGAUUGAAACAUGAUUGUAAUAAGACUUGAUUGUGGCCGAUUUUAUUUGAUUGACUUGCGGCCACAUGAUCACAUUGUGAAACCCUAAAUUUUGAAUGACAAUGUGAUUCAGAUGUCGAAAAUCUCAAACCUAGACUAUGCUGCCCUUAAUCUCUCCGGAGACAACUAUUUGCAAUGGGCAUUUGACACAAAGAUUAACUUGAGGUCAAAGGAAGUAGGUGAUACAAAGAUUAACAAUGAGAGUGAUAAGAAUCGGUACAGGGCUAUAAGUAUUAUACGCCACCAUCUCAUUGAGGGUCUAAAAGAUCAGUACCUCACCAUGGAGAAUCCACUAGACCUUUGGACCGCUUUACAGUGUAGAUAUGAUCACAAGAAAACGGUGCUAUUACCAAAGGCUAGACAUGAGUGGAAGAAUCUCAGAUUUAUGGACUAUAAGUCUGUGGAUGAAUACAAUUCAGUAUUGUUUAAGAUAGUCUCAAUGAUGAGAUUAUGUGGUGAGGAAGUAACCGAGAAAGAGUUGCUUGAUAAAACAUUCUCCACGUUCCAUUCGACGAACUUGUUGCUGUAACAACAGUAUAGAGAGAGAGGCUUCGCCUCAUACACUGAUCUGAUCUCGUGCCUGCUCCUGGCCGAGGCUAAUAAUGAACUCCUGAUGAAAAACAGUGAGAUGAGACCCAUCGGAACAUCAGCAUUACCAGAAGCCAAUGAGGCUAAAAAGAAAGAUCCCAAAGAAUGCAACCACGUCCAUGAUAAUAAGAAGUCACAUGGCAAAGGCCGUAGUAGAUUCAAGGGACGUGACCGUGACAGCUAUGGACGACAAGGAAACCACAAUAACCGUGGUCGUGGUUCCAGCCGUGGCCGAGGCAAUUAUGGCUGUGGUCGAGGUGGCAUAUCCAAACCGUCUUACUUGACCAAAUCAGCUUGUCACAGAUGUGGAAUGGAAAACCAUUGGGCAAAGAAUUGUAGAACCCCUAAACAUCUAUGUGAGCUCUAUCAAGAGAGCCUUAAGAACAAGAACCCGGAAGCCCAUAUGGUUCAUGAUACCGGGUAUGAUGCUGAUGAUGAUUCCGACCUUGAAAGGGACGACCUCUUGGAUUUUGAGACUUCUGAUUGUCUCAAAGACUAAAAUCGACAUCUUGUCUUAUUGUUUUAUGAAUUGCUUUGAUUUCAUUUCUGUUAUAUCUUGCCUGAGUUUGUUUGAUAAUGUGAAUGAUUUUAUUGAUACAAAGAGUUGCCUGAAGGGCAUUAUAGUACGGGUAUAGUAGCCUAGUAAGAAAUUAUGGCCAAGGCAUUGCCUUAAAAGGCAUUAUAUACACCCAAUAAUAUGUGACCCAUUGUGUUAUGAUAAUAUGGUUUCUAAAUAGAAACAAUGGGCAAAGAAAAGGAAACAAGUUCCUUCAGAUUUUGAAACAAAAAUCGCCUAAGACCUUAUAAGAAAGUGGUCAAGACUAUACAUGUGUACUCUACUGAUCAAAACUAUGCUACAAAUCAGUAUGAAUAAGAGGCAAGAGCCGUGGUGACUAUACUCAUAUAUAUCCCACGAAAUUUUAUACACUAUAUGGCAAAGACCGGAUUAGCCAUCUUGGUCCAUAACUGAUGAAAAGGGUUAAAUUUGAAAGGCACAAAGAGCUAUUCCCAUUAGAAUUCACGUUGUGAAACAUGUACACAAAGGGAAACUCAUUAAGGCUUUAUUAUCCUAAGAACCACGAAAUUAUAGUAUGUUCAUGAUGGGGAGAGAGGAUAAAAAACCCUAAAUCCAUGAUCACACUACAAAUUCGUGAAACAUGGUCUAGAACCAUGAUAUAAACGGCUUGGCCGUGUUGUGCAGGCUUGGCCGCACAGUCCAUUACCUAUAAAGGUUCAGACAUCCAUCCUAGAGCUUAUGGACAUUAUGGAUUUACAUGUAUAAAAAGUUCAACUACAUCAGGCCAUAUAAGUGAGCAUAGAUAUUCCCACCUCAGAUUGAAUAUGGGUCAUAAACCAGACAUACACCAUCUUAAGAGAUUUUGAAUAAACCACCACAUACAUAUGUGUGCCGUCUAAGAUGGAAUCUCAUAAAAGGAUUGGAAAUAUAUGUUGGAUAAGAGUAUGACUUUCUCCACGAAUUCAAAGAGACCGUGAGCCAAAAAAAAAAAACAUGGGUGAUCAAAUAGUGGCCAGGUACGGAUUGCAUGACCAAAUGGAUCUGGCUAUCCAACAUUAUAAAGAGAAAGUUAUAAGCUGGUAUAAAGAGCAAAGAAAGAAUGAUAAGAAUGAAUGGUAUCAACCAUCAUGGUCUUGGCAAGAUCCUCGGAUUAGAACUGUAGACGUCCAAAGAAAAGGUUAUAAAAGGCUAGCUAAUCGAGAUGCCAGACACUGACCCGAAAAGAGCAGAAUGACUAAGUCAUAACCAGCUUAGCACUAAACGAAAUCUGAUGUCCUUGAAAGAGACACAGUCAAGUUGCUAUAGAGUCUAUAAAAGAUAGACCAAGUGUUCCAUAAGAUAAGGAACCUCGGAAAAGAAAGAAUGGUGCAUAGAAUGACAAUCCGAGGUUAUAAGGAAACCAUACUAGACAUUGAGAAAAGGCUGCGCAGCUACACAUCUAAGGUACCAAACCAUGUAGCUUGGGACGCCAAGCUACUAGGUAACAAUGGUCCUGGAUAAUAAGAUCUCAAAUCUAUUAGAUCAUGUCUGGAACAUAAUGGAACCACAUACAUAUAUAAGUGUCGACACACACAUUAAAGAUAUUUGUAUAGAAAUACAUAAAGAGAAUAGCACUUGAGUUUAAAGACAUAAGCAAGGAUCAUGAGCCCACAAAAGAGUACUCAUAAAGAUUAAAGAAAAGAUAAACGUGGGGUUUAAAGUAUCUAUAGAAGAGAUAGUCGUAUUGGCCAUAGAAACGCCAUCUGAUAUAAACCAGUUAAAUAGAUGGGUCUUGUGAGGGAAAAGAAACCGUGAGAUAUGAUACAUGAUCACGAGGUUUAAAGGUGUUCAUGUUUCCUACUAACAGCAUUCGAUCAUAGCUUGUUACACAAGGAUACUCAUAGAGACCAUGGAACAGAUUAUAAGGAGAUAAACUCCUAUGUGGUGGGUGCUGCUACAAAUUUCGAAAUUGACAAUGGUCUGGUCAUAUGAAAGAAUUAGAUUCACAUAUAAAGAUGUAGUAAACAGCAUAUGGAUCACUGGAUGAAAGAACAGCAUUGUUCAUAAGCUGUUCAUGGACUGAAACAUAAAGCAGCUGCAUAUAUUAUGAAAGGGAGUUCUAUAAGAAUGAUCAAAUUCAGUCUAUAUGAGAAUUUAUAAAGAAAUUCGAAAUCCCUUGUGUUUAUACUAAACCAACCUAAUGAGAGGUUUAUACAGAUUAUCUAUUAAUCUGUAACCCUAGCAUGAACCGGCUAGAUCAUAGUACGGGCUAGUAGAAAAGAAAGAUCAGCCUAAAGAAAGGUGAUUGCCUCAGGUUACUAUCUCAAUAGCAUGAUCUCCGGAUUGACCAAUCCGACAUCAGAUCCUUUAGUAAGGAUCCAGCAUAGCAGAAUAGUUUGCUACUGCUGUUACUCUCACGUGACAUUGCCGUGAGGCCGAGAGAAGACGUUUAAAUCUAUCCCUCUCGAUCGGAUACCAAUAGGUUGCAGUCUAUAAGAAUGUACAAUCGAGAUCCAUGACCUAAUAGAUAUAUACCAGUGUGUGGUAUGGUCCAAUGGAAAGAUAGGUCAUAGGACGCCAUCAAGAGAUGGAUAAAGGACUGUAAUAUCCGAGAUAGAUAUAUAUAUGGUAUUGCCUGAGGCAAGAAAGAUCGAUGACCAUAUGUAUGGGUCCAUGAGUAUAUUCUGGCCAAUAAGCCAUAGUAUGAUAAAAUUAUAAAGCCAUUGAUAUACAUCCGUGUAUAGAAGAUACAACGAGACAUAGGUUCAUGAUAACCAUGUUUAGUAUAUUGUCCAUAAGUACUUAGUUUGUCCGACCAAAGUAAAGAGCAGUUGACAGUAGACGAUCACGUCUAGACCAUGGACACAUGCAAACACGAUUUGCAAAGACCCAACAGUGAUCUCCGAAGACAAUGUGGUUCACAUUGUUUAGCACACAUGCUUUACCGGGACACUCGAUGUCAAAGGACAUGAGAAACGACCUAAGAGGUCGAAGUGGUCUAUUACGGCUUAGUAAUGAAACUGGCCGAAUUCCCCACCUGCAUGUUCAGGACAGUUCACGCAUCAGAUGCGUAGACUAAAGAACUUCCACUGAGGUUCACAUCAGGGGGAGUAGUGCGUGUUGUACUUUUUUUCCUUCAUCAUGGUUUUGUCCCACUGGGUUUUCUUGAUAUGGUUUUAAUGAGGCAAUGUGAAGCGUAUUACGAAUCAUGUAUGGUUAUGGCAUCCAAGGGGGAGUGUUAUAAAUCAAGUAAUGAAUGUCCAUAACCGGCCCAGUCCAUAAACCGGUCCAUACCAAGAGAGAUAACCGAAACCCUAGAGAAAGGAGAGAGAGCAGCCGCAUGUCCUAGAGGAGAGAGAGAGGCGGCCACAAACUUAGAGAAAAGAAAAUUCUUUUCUUUUUCCUAAUAGAUGUAAUCUUUUCAUUUAUGUAUUUAGUAGUUAUCCUAAAUCUAGUAAGAUUAGGAUUUGUACUAUUUCUAUUUAUCUCUUCUUGUAAUCCUUAUAUAAGAAACCUCAUAUUAUGAAAUAAUAACACAGAACUAUUCGGUCUUCAAUCUUCUAAUUACAACAAAAAGCUCAAUUUCAAAACCUUUAUAAAAUAAAACAACAAUUUACUUUUUAGAAAGUAAAGUUUAUAAACCCAUUUAGUCACACAUGGACACAAAAGUCCCAGCCGUCCAUAGGGGAAAAUGAAUCCGAAUAAAGUCAAUUUCAGAAGUUAAGAAUUCCACUUCUAAAUUUCAGAAGUUAAGAUAACCCAUUUAGUCAUUUGGUCAACUAUUAUGUGGUUUUAGACCAAAUUCAACUUCUGCUACACUAUUUCGUUGGUUGAAAUAGAUAAAAAGUUUUCGUCCUAAGGAAAAAAAUGAAACAAAGAGUUAGGAAACUAGCUCGCAAGCUUUAUUCUUACGACAAUGGUGGUCUGAAAUUGAUGCAUCGGCAUCCCUAAGUUUGGCGCCAACAUAACGACUACAACCGGAUUCAAAUCCUAUUGUUUCUAGGAUUUUGGUUUUAAUUUUAUUUCUUUUAAAGAUUUUGGUUUUAAUUUUAUUUCUUUUAAAGAUAAUGAUGUUUUGUUUCCUUAUUGCUUUAAUUUUAGGUUUCCUAUUCCCUUAGGGUUUGUCAAAGGGAAUAGCUAUAUAAACGACUCUAGUCGUCUUGUUUUAGAUAAGUUUGAUUUUAAUAAGAAGAGCUUUGCUUUUAUUCUUUGUUCGAUUUGAUUCAAUUCAUCAAACAAGAAGUUGGUCUCAAUAAUCUAUCGAAAUAAACUCUUGAUCGAUCCAAGAACAUGUCUCGAAGAACCCUAAAUUCUUAGAUCGACCGUUUAACCAUUCGUACGCUGCGCCAUGUUGGUAUCAGAGCUUUGCUACGCUCGGAAACUUUCUCAGCCCGCUACGAUGGUUCGUACCUAUCGCCUUUCUCAGCAACAAACUGAUGACGACACCCCAGCCACCAAACAAUAUAUCGCCUCCCUUCAAGCCCAAAUCGCUAUUCUUGUGACCACUGUGACAAACUUAAUCACGCAACGUACGGCCCCUGUAAUCCGCCGUGAACGCCAUAAACAUGGUGGUAAUAACGGAGACGCAGAGGGGAACAAGAAUUCGUUUACUCUAGACUCUAGUUAUUCAGCAGUAUGCUCGCAGUAUCAACAACAAUGAUCCAGACUUGGAUAAAGAGUAUGAAGAUUUGGAUGCAAAAAGUUCAAACACAAGAGACAACGAGAACUCCUAUGUUGCUCAACUUGGAGGACCGCUUUUUGACGUUUCUGAUUCUGAAGAAGAGGAAGAACACUUUCCAGAGCAAAAUUUUGAUCCAAUAUUUGAUGUGUUUGAUCAAGACGUUGCAGAAAUUUCUCCAAUCUAUGACAUGUUCGACCAAGACGAGAUGAAAUAAGUCACGAUUGAAAAAGUGGAAGUUGAAAGCGUUAAAUUUAAUGACUCUAUCUCUACUAAAGAAACUCCAACGCUUUCUCUAGAAGAUUUUAGGACAAAUAGUGGUGUCAAAAAGAGUUUUGAUCUCAAGGAUUCAACUCAUACCUUUCAAACUAUGUCUGAAACUUCUGACUAGAGCCAUAAUUGUUUUGAGAUCAAAAGUUUGUCAACAAAGGAAGAUUGCUUUGAAGAGCAAAAACCAGAACCUGUUUUACUCUUUGACGUGGAGGACAAAAGGACAUAUGUGGAUGCGAUGAAUCAGCAUGUGAGUUUUGAUCUAAGGAGAAAGGAUUGUCAUCAACAAAUGGUUCGAAAACCACCAGAUCGUGCUCGAGAUACAGAACAUGAACAUGCCAAUCAUGUUAUAAGACACAAUCUUUUUUUACCAACAAACAGUGGCUCCGAAUGUGCAGAAGAUGACACAGUCUUGUUGGACACCAGGGUUGGUACUCUGAAAUUCAAGCAAGAUCAAAGAGAUGAUGUGAGUGAGAUGUCUCUUUCCUAGAGACACUUAUUAGAAAACAAUAUUAUUGAACUUCGGAAAGAACUGCUAUGUGAGAAGGAGAAAAGCGUGACUUUGGAGCAUGAGUUAAGUGAGAUACAUAAGAAAAUUCGUAUGUUAAACACAUGAUCUGCAACUUUGGACAAGAUUUUGAAUAUAGGAAGGACUGAGAAAACAACUACUGGUCUCUGUUAUCAAGGAUAUUCAACUAGUUCACAAACUGUUUUGUCCAAGGUACGUCCUCUUCACCAAACAAUAUGUUAUUAGGGGAUUCCAAGGAUCAAGACAUGGAGCUUCUAAACGUCUCGAAGUUGCAUAUUCCCUCUUGCGAAAUAAGUUUCUCUCCACAUCAGUAUCAUUUAGCUCAUAGGUGUGUGACAGAAAUUGAUAUUUAUACAAACCAUGGAGGAGUGCUCGUUAACAAGUUUAUUGAUGAUACGCGGCAAGAUAGUGACACUGCAGAGCAAGAAAAAAAUAUUUUUGAACUAUUGAGUAAACUUCGCAUGGGAGACGAUGACAUGUCAUCGUUGGUGCGGGUGUCUAUACGCGACAUAAAACAAAAUUAUUUCUGGCUCUCAGUGGAUUUUGGUGACGCGAAAAAUUUGGUGCUUCGAAAAUGGCAACAAAAUAAUGACGUGAAGCACAAUGAAAGGAGUAACGAGUGCAGCUUUUUCUUUGCUCCUGAAAGAUUAAUGUGGGUACGUGAUCUGAUGUUAUCUCCAUGGAGAUUGAUAUGUGUUCUACCGCUUACGGUGAGUCAUCGCGCGGGGAUGAGAAUUUUUGCAUCAAUGCCCGUGAUUCAUUCUAAUGCUUGUAAAGGAAAGGAACAUUCUGGUCUUUCACAGAAUGCGAGCAAGGAGUACAAAUUUUGCGACGGUUGGAGAUUGAUCUUACGUUGUAUGACGUUUCAUGUUAGUGCUUCUGUGGUUUUGUUAGGAGUGGACCCUACAUCAGUAUGGGAAUUUCCUUGUGUCAUCGCUUUUGGUAUGGAGGAAUCUGAGUUUCUGUGUACACCACUAGCUUGUCAGCCGUUCGUGUUACUUCCCUACAUGUUUAAAACAGCGUCAAGAAGGUUCAUGUAUGCCACUGGAUUGCAGUGGGGAACUAAUCAAGAGCGCUUACGAGUCAUGUGUAUAUUAAUACCGGGAUCAUAUAAUGAUGUGACAAACAGUCUUGUUGCUGAAGUAUUCCAGCUUGUUAGACCUAUGUGGCUUAUGGGGAUCUCACGUUUCUCACCAUUUCUCUUACCGAGAUUACGGUAUUCUUCCUUUCAGCAUUUUAUGUCCAAUAUAAGUCUCGUGAGGUUGAUUAUACGUAUAGAAGCAGAAGUGUGUGCUAUCCACAUUGGAAGUAAGGCCGAUAGAUGUUGACGUGUGGUGUUGUGCGAUGUUUUUCAACGGGCCAACAACUUUGGAGAGUUACGUUUCUUGUGCUUCAAGCAAGUACUUGUGGGAGUCCUUUAGUUGUGUGUUCCGUGUUCAUUAUAACUCUUCUGUUUUGCUACUACCAUCGUCCUCGGGUGGUUUAGCUACUUUAAUGCGGGUAAUAGGAAACAAAGUAUUUGCUUUUCAAGACCCGUGGAAUGAGGAGUUCAAGCUUUUGGCAAAGUUCGACAUGCGCCAUGGUAACCUUCGUCCGCAUGUGCAACCAUCGGUUAUUAUUCGAUGGUCUCUUUUUAAGAUUGUGAUGAGACCAAUAUGUGGUAAUCGUCCUUUUGGUGUCGUGAUGAUUAUUCUACACUCUAAUCGCUGCCAGUUCCUUGAGUUUAGGAGCUUGUGCAAUUAGUUCUGCAGACAUAAAGAAAUACACAUGUGGUUUUUGUGGGAUUUGCAUUAUAUAAAAAGAGAUUUUCUUGGUCCACAGCUUGGUUCUAGUUACACACCCGUGACUUUAAUCUGGUGGAGAGAUGUUACUUGCAGGUCAAGCAAGCUUUUGUGCGUCUUGGAUGAAGACGUGCCUUUCCGUAGGAAUACCUCGUUUUCAUGGAGAGGUGCUUUUGAAUGUGUUUACAUCUUCUCACAUAAUAUGGUGGAUGGUAGGGAGCUUACGAUGCUUCUUCAACGUCUCGAUAAGUUCUACAACAUCUCUUGGUUAUGCGGUGACCUCUUAACCUGUAAUCAAGUCAGGUGUGCUACACAUGGACAUAUUAAAAUUCUUGGUGCGAACGUGGAGAGUUCAGCAGAGAGUAUAGAUGCAACAAUGAGGAUGCUUCUAUUGGAAGUUUGUGAGCAGAGAUUUUCUUUGAAUGAUUCGAUGAACAAGACUGCAGCAGAUGUUCGUCGCAGGUGCCUUGUGUUUGACGUGGGAGAUUUGGUGUGGGCGUAUUUCACUCGUGAUCGUAUGCCAGCACACACCUAUAUCAAGCUGAAAUCUAUAAAAGUUGGUCCACUUGAAGUUCUGGAGAGAAUCAAUGAUAACGCCUAUCGCUUGAAGCUUCCUGCGGAUAUCAACACUUCUGAUGUCUUCAAUGUUAAGCAUCUGUCUCGCUAUGUUCCCGCCAAUACCGGUUCUGAUUCGGGGUCGAAUCCUUCUAACCCGGCAUCCCUAAGUUUGGCGCCAACAUAACGACUACAACCACAUUCAAAUCCUAUUGCUUCUAGGAUUUGGUUUUAGUUUUAUUUCUUUUAAAGAUAAUGAUGCUUUAUUUCUUUAUUGCUUUAAUCUUAAGUUUCCUAUUCCCUUAAGGUUUGUCAAAGGGAAUAGCUAUAUAAACGACUCUAGUCGUCUUGUUUUAGAUACGUUUGAUUUUAAUAAGAAGAGUUUUGUUUUUAUCCCUUGUUUGAUUUGAUUCAAUUCAUCAAACAUGAAGUUGGUCUCAAGAAGCUAUCGAAAGAAACUCUUGAUCGAUCCAAGAACAGGUCUCGAAAAAUCCUAAAUUCUUAGAUCGACCGUUCACCCAUUCGUACGAUGCGCCAGAAAUGAUACGCAUGUUUGUUUUAAUUAUCAAAUAAUAACAUUGAGCUACAUGCAGUAAGAGGAAUAUUCUUCUAAAUUGCUUGGUAGCAAGAUGAAAACUUUGGCAGGCGUAAACCUGUCGAUCAUGAGUUUGAGUUAUGUUAGGAAGUAAAUUGCUAUUUGUUUAGCCAAACGUUUUAAACUCCAUUAGAAAAUUUGGAGGCCAGAUUAGUCGUCGAUAUUGUUUUCAUAAGUUGGGCUUUGGCCCAGAUAACUCAAUUUUUUUUAAAUCCUAUUUUAUAUAACAUCUUAUCUUUAUUAUUAUCAAAAAUAUUUCACGUAUAUGAAUCAAACCAUACAACAAACACAUUUUUAAUUAAAACUAGGUGUUGGAUUUGUGCGAGUUAAUAUAUAUUUUAAUAAUUUUAGUUUAAUAUUAUUUUUAUAUUUAUGAUAAUGUAUUUAAUUUGAUUAAAAUAUUAUUUUUUGUGUUUUUCUGUCUUUUUAACCAAAUUUCAAUGGUUUAUUGUGUGAAUUUUUUAUUCUUAUUGUUUAUACAUGAUUCUUAUAUUUAGAAAUUGAAUCUCAAUUUAAAUGAGUUUCUUUUAAUUUUAAAGUCUAAUUUAAAAAAAAUCUUUAUUUUAGUAGUAUAUGUUCUUGGCCACAUAGAACUAUGGAGAGAAUUUGAAUAAAACUCAAUAAUACAUAUCACCAGUGAUUUUCAUGAUCAGUUUAAAGAAAUCUGAUACUUGGUUUGCAUACAAGACCCAAUGUACAUGUUAAACGUGUAUCACUAAAUAUUAAAAUUUUAAAUUGGUGUCAUGUCAUAAUAAUAGAACAAUAUUAAUUAAAUUAAACUCUGAAAAAAUUUACAUUGUGUCACGAAUAGUCAAUACUAACUUAGUUAAUGAUCUUCCUUCUGAAAUGAGAUAUUUCAAAGGUUCAACAUUCACAACUUCGCCAAUAAUAUCUAAAACACACAACAUUAGAAAGAAGAACUCGUGAACAAACAUAUCAUAAGUAAGACACAUCAAUAAAAAUAAAAUAUGAUAUAGAAAAUAUACCGACUAAAAAUUUAUUUUCAUAUUGACGUCCCUAUAUUUCGUUAAAUUCUUUGAAAUCAUUAUUUGUUGACUCUUUUGGAAAAUCAUCACAUGGUAUGAUUUUGGUUGUUAUAUAAAAAUUUAUCUUAAAAAGCAGAGAAGUUUUUUUUAUAUUUUAUGGUAUAAUCACCGAAAGUGAAAUUAUGUAGAAUAAAAGAAUCCCGUUGAGAUAACGUAUAUAGAAAAUUACCAUAAAACAAGUCGCCAAAAGAAUAUUUUUCAAUAGAAGCAUGAGUCCUAGUUCCCUACAAAUUAAAUUUCAAAUAAGUGACUAACAUCAAAUCAUAUAAUUAAUGUGAAUCAAAAAUGAAAUAAAUUAAUAUAUUUACAACAACAUCAAUACCAAUUCAAUUGAAACAAUUUUUAACUUUUUCAUGAUUUUAAAGUAUCAACACUUUUACUCUAAUUUUAUUGUAAUCUUUAGCCGACUCAAUAACUCUAAUAAGAAAAAAUGAAAUGGGGUUCUUUUUCAAAAAGACAACAUUUGAAAGUGUUUCAUAUUAUUUAAAAAUGAAGUUUUGUAAGUUUUGUGCGUAUUUCCCAUCAAACAUAUGAUGAGAAUAUAUACUAUCAUAGCAUAGAGUUGGAAUAAUUAUAAUACAUUAUUAAGAUGGAUACUAAGAUAAAAUCGACAUCAUAAUUCUUUGUAUUAGCAUUUACAUACUACUAUAACUAUAAUACAAGAUAGACUAAGAUAAAUAUCACUUAUACAUUAUCUAUAUUAUCAUUAAACGAUAAAGUAUAAUAAAAGAUAGAUUAUGUUCCACAUCCAGUAACAAAUAUAAUUUUAAAUUACGAGUAACAAAUAUGAUUUUAAAACAGAAUAAUAAGAAUUGGUUCUAACUCGUCGAAGUUACAAAAUUUAUUUAAAAUUUAUAUAUCUAAUUAAAAAUCUUGAAAUAGUUAUAUUAUUUAAAUUAAUAAAUUAAUGACUGAGAUAAAACUAAUACUCCCUCCGUUUCAUAUUAAGUGUCGUUUUAGAGAAUUUUUUUCGUUACAAAAUAAGUUCUGUUUUCGAUUUUCAAUGCAAAAUUUAUUAAUUUUAUGCAAAAUUUAUUUUUCUAUUGGUUGAAAUAUGGUUAGGUGUAUAGGUAAUAGUAUUUUUUUAUAGGAAAUGUACAAAAUUAAUUGUUUUCUUAAUCCGUAUGCCGAAACCUAAAACGACACUUAUAAUGAAACAGAGGGAGUAAUAAAUUAAUGACUUAGCUAAAUCCUAAUAAAAACAUGAAAAUAGCAAAAUUGAGUAAAAUCAUGGAGAACGUGACAAAUAAACAAAAUCAAAAUAAUUAUAUAUCUAGUUACAAAGUUUAUAGUUAUAUUAUUUAAAUUAAUAAAUUAAUUACUUAGCUAAAAAAUAAUAAUAAUUUAAUGACUAUACUAUAACCUAAUAAAAAUAUGACAAAUAAGCAAAAGUAACUAAAAUCAUGUAGAAUAUGACACAUAAGCAAUAUCAAAAUAAUUAUAUACAUGGUUACAAAUUUCAUAGUUAUAUUAUUUAAAUUAAUAAAUUGUUGACUAAAAAAAACUAUUAAUAAAUUAAUGACUCAGUUAAACCUAAUUAAAACAUGACAAAUAAGCAAAAUUACCUAAAAUCAUGGAAAGAAUGACAAAUAAGCAAAAUCACUUCAUAAAUAAUAAUAUAUAUAAGAUAACAUAAAGUAAUAAUACAAUGCUUCCUAAUUCUUUUGCAUUAUAGACUGAUUUGCUAACUCUAUCUAUUUUUGUUCUUAGUCUUAUAUAUCUUGUUAUUGAUUGUCAUUUAUUGUGAUACAACACUUUUUAUCACUUAAUAGAUCGGUGGAUGCGAUCCAUCCCUGCUCAAUCCAUACAUUCCUUCUCCUGGAGAUAACAUUUUUUGUUAUAGUGUUAACCCAUGCCAUAAAUAAUUCCUCAAACUGAAAUUGAUAAGCGCUUAACUCGAUCAUCUUCCUCUCCACGUCUUCACUUAAACAAGCCAUUAUUCCUCUUGUUGCCAAAGAGAGAUGAAACGCAUUUCUCUGAGAUAGUGGAGUCAUCAUCUUCCAUGUCAAUUUGUCAAAAGGACAAGACGUACAUAAUCUUCUCCAUGGUCAUGGUGGUUUAUGAUUCCUCUUUUUUUGUUCCAUAGUAAUUGUAAUUCUCUCAAACAAUUAUAUGGAGGGGAUAAAAUACCAUGCCUUACAAGCCAUGGAAAUGCAUUGACAACACAAAACCACCAAGUGUUGUUUGUCGGAAGAUUAUACACAACAAUAAUGGAGAUGAUAUACUCACCAAUUAGGGAGAAAAAUGACUCAUCAAAGUUCUGAUCCAAUCCUCCUAACUGUCCACUGAACCAUUGGAUAAACAUGGAAUUGUUUGCCCAUAGAGAAGACAUCAUGUGACAGCACCAAGCAGAAGAGAGACAGUGUGAUGAGAAAAUUGUUAGAAACAUAAAAACAAUAAUUUUUAGCAAAAAAAAAAAAAACAAACAUAAAAACAAUAAUAGAAGAAGAUUACAAACCGACGCCGGAGCCAGGGGUGGAUGUACCCUUACAGAUACGGGGGCACACCUUUGCGUGCUUGUGGGAGAGAGAAGCAGUUUUCCAGUAAUUACGGUGUUUAAAAAAAAAAUCUCUUCAAAUCCACAUAUAUGUAUGUAUUGGUCUUGUUGUAGUGAUUGACAAUAAUAAGGGGAUGAUUGUUUUCUUAAUUUUUAGAUUUUGGAUUUUUAUUUUGUAGUAUAUUUUAGUUUUUCCUUGAAUGGUGGUUUUAGAUUUUAGCUUUUGUUUUUAAAAAUAAUAAAAUUUGUGGAACUUAAUAUUAUAAAUAAAUACUAAUAGCGAUAGAGUUAAAUUCAGUUCUUAUGUACAUGUUGACAAAAAAAAAGUUCUUAUGUACUGUUAUUUUUGAAUUUUAUAAUAAUGCAUAUAAAUUUGAGUAUCAACAUGUACAUAAUGUGAUUUAGUUCUUAUGUUCUAACCUAUAAUGUGAUGGGAAAGAGAACGAUAACAAAGAAAAAAAAAAUUAAAUUUGUGUUAAUAGUUAAAUAGAACAGAAAUACUAUAUUUCAAACUUAGAGUAAGGAAUAUGUAUUUAUGUUGUAAUAAAUUUGAUUUCUAAUCAUAUAAAUUAAAAGUUGUUAUAAAAAAUAAAUAUAAUUAUAGUUUUUUGUAUAAAAUCAGAUAAACCAAAAAUCGAAGUAUAUAAACGGAACCAAACCAAAUUAGAUAUAGUUUUAGUAUGGUAGCUAUUUUUUAUAAACUGAAAUACUGAAAAUUGAAAAAACUGAAUCGAAACCGGAUCGAAAUCCGAAUUAAACAUAUCUAAUUUUCAUACACGUUUAUUCCGCGCAAGACGCGGAUCUCUACCAAGUUGUUCAUAAACUCAAAUCAAAACAUCAAUAAAUUAACUACACCUUAACAAAAAACUCCAAACUGCUUCGAAAUAAUAGCUUAAAAAAUUCCAGAUGCUUAGAAAAGUAGAAACAUUUUGAGGUUCAUGUGUAUUUGUUGAGUUGUAGAGUUGUAGAGUAGGUCUUAUAUAGUUAGACUAUUUAAUAAAAUUAACAGUUUUGUAAAAAAGAAGAAAAUCAUUAUUUUUUGUUGGUCGUAGGUAAUUUUAGAAAAAAACCAUUUGAAAAGAGAUUUUGGUUUCUAAGAAGUUGAUUGUUUACAGAUUCUAAAGUAGUUUUUGGUUUUUAUUUUUGAAAAAAUCAUUUUUUAGACAAUCAAGUUUUUAAAGAAAUUGAUUUUCUAUAAUAUAGGGAAACUAGUUUUUUCAAAUAACUGUUUUUUUUUCUCUAAAGAAAAACCAAAAUCUAAGUUAUUGUGGUUUUUUCAAAAUCUAAUGAUAGUUUUUCAUUUUAUUUUUAAUUUAAACUUUUGCUAUAUUUAUGCAUUAACACAUGAAAAGAAAUAAAACAAUAAAUACUAUAAACAAAUCAGCUCUAGUAAAUGCCUUUGUUUAAUAAUAUAAUACAAAAGUAAGUUCUAUUAAGAACAAUUUUAAAACUUAUCAAUAAAAUAAAAUUAGUUAUUUAAAAUAAACAUUUUACUAAUAUUUUUAUUUUAUUAAUUUUAAAAGGAAAAACCCAAAGCUAAAACAAAAAUCUAAAACAACCAAUCAUGUUUUCAAAAAACUAAAAUUUACUGCAAAAACAAAAACAAAAAUCAAAAACUAAAAACCAAAAUCCAAAAACUAGAAACCAAAAUCCAAAAACUAGUAAAACAAUCAUCACCUAAGAAGACAAUAAUAAGAGGAAUCAAAAACUAAUUUCCCUAGAGAAAUAGGGAAUCUAUUUGACCAGAAUUAUGAUCGGGUGAAAAGUAGUUUUUGGAAAAUCAAAAACUAAAACCAGUGUAUAAUCUAACAAACAAUAACCUCUAGGUGGUGUCUGAUGUCGUCGGUACAGGCACAUAAAUAAUUUAUUACAAUUUGAAAAUACCAAACAAUUUGGAGCCCAGUAAAAGCCCAACAAGAGCCAUUACAAACGGAAGUUCAAGCCUUAUAAAAUUAAAUCAGUAUUUGAAAUUCAGAAUUCAAGAACGUCGGAGAACGAAAUUGUCCCCGACGAGUUUCGAUGCAACUGCUCCAACGGGAAGCAAUGUGGGUGCAAGAGACGGGCUUUGGAAGGGAAGAAGAUGAGCGAGACUCAUACCUCGCAGCUUAGUAAGAAGCGGAAAGCUGCAGAGUCGACGAAGCGCUUGCUAUCUUCGAAGAUCAAGCCAAACGAAGGAGGAAUUAGGGCUAGGGGAUUGGGGAAACCGAAGCAGAGGCUGAUGUUGAUGAAGAUAGGGGAUUUGCAGUUGGAUUUGGUAAGGAUGUUGUUGAAGAUUCAGGUCUAAGAACAUUGGACCGUUACCUAUCUUCUCAAGAAAAAGCUUACAUUUUUACACUUUUGUGUACGCAUUUAGUUUCUUUCUGAGUCUGAAAGAGUGAGUGUUCUUUUGCGUAGAUGGUAUCGAGAAAAUGUAUCUUGAGUUAUUAACUUAUUAUGUUUGCUUUCUUACUUAUCUUGUUUACAUAUAAUAAGCCUUGCUCUUCUUUUGCUGGUUUCAUCUAAAAUAAUAAUUGCAUUAGACAAUAGUUCUAGCUAGGAAUAAUCUCGCUAGAUUGAUAACUUUUGUAGACCUAGGAUAUAUAGAGAGGCUUAGUCAUACACCAAGGUAACAACUUCAUUGCCAUAUUUCAUCUGCUUUUAGGUGCAUGAUGAUGCAAUUUGCUGAGAUGUUCUGUAUCAGUUUGUGAAGUACUACAGGAAGUAGUACAGACGUGCAUCAUGAAGAUGGAGCUGAGUGGGAGUUCGAGUUUUGUGAUUGUGUGGGCAUGCUGAGCUUGGAAAAGGAAAGAUGAUAUAUGUUUGAAGACAUAUGGAUGUUUUCCAUAAAGCAAAAGGGAAAUCCUUGAAGAUGAAGUUUUCCAUUAAAGAAAAUGGAAAGUUGUCUUAAGUGUAUUUGGAAGACUUGGAGAGCAAGUUGAAGACGUGGAGAGCAAGAUCUUGUCUGCUAUAUAAGGAGGGACGUGGCUUAUGAGAAAGUCAGACCUCAGAGAAGAGAGAGAGAGGUUUCAUUGGUGUGUGGUACUGCUUGGUGUCGAAGGACAUUCUGAAGCAUUGUCUGAUGGAGUCUGAUGUGGACUUAGUUUGGUGGCGUUUGAGUUGGCGCUUUGUGUGGUGGAGUUAGCCAUCGUGUGUAGCUCGUGAUGAGCUAUGUGUAUGCUUGGGUGAUCAAUCUUUUGGUAUCACUGGUGUGCGUUGGUUGCUGACGUACUUGGUGAAGUACUUCCUCAUCUGCAUUAACAAUUGGUAUUAGAGCGGGUCACCUAAGUUGCUGGUGAGAUCAUGGAAGAUGAGGACGAAAACUGGUUCAGGAAGUAGAACAAGUUUGAUGAAGAUGGCGUGAAGGGAUUUUUUCCUAGGUUUGGAAGGUGCUAAUCUUCGAGUUGGUUUUUGACCAUGAUGUGACUCAUAGGGGGAGAUUGAAGACGUGAUUUUCAAGCCAGUUAUGAUGAGUGCACAUGCAUACUCAAAAAGGGGGAGAUUGAAGAUGCAAUUUGCUGAGAUGUUCUGUAUCAGUUCGUUAAGUACUACAGGAAGUAGUACAGACGUGCAUCAUGAAGAUGGAGCUGAAUGGGAGUUCGAGUUUUGUGAUUGCGUGGGCUUUCUAAGCUUAGAAAAGGAAAAAUGAUAUAUGUUUGAAGACAUAUGGACGUUUUCCAUAAAGCAAAAGGGAGUUACUUGAAGAUGAAGUUUUCCAUUAAAGAAAAUGGAAAGUUGUCUUAAGUGUAUUUGGAAGAUUUGGAGAGCAAGUUGAAGACGUGGAGAGCAGGAUACGGUCUGCUAUAUAAGUAGGGAUGUGCCUUAUGAGAAAGUCAGACCUCAGAGAAGAGAGAGAGAGAGGUUUCAUUGGUGUGUGGUACUGCUUGGUAGGCAUGGGCGUUCGGGUACCCGUUGGCGUUCGGGUCGGGUUUUUCGGAUUUCGGUUCUUUUUGAUAACACCUCCUAGGUCCCAUUCUAGUAAAUUUGCAAGUACGGGUUGGGUUCGGAUAUAACACAUCGGGUUUGGGUCGGUUCUGUAUCACAUCAUAGAACCCAUAAAGUAACCAUAUAUAUGAUUCGGAUUCGGGUUAUAUCGGAUCGGUUCAGAUAUACCCGAAAUAAAAUCUAAAAUUUAAAAGCAAAACAUAAGAAAUAUAUACUUAUAUAUAUAUAAUUAAGUAUUUAAAGUAGUUAUUUAAAUUUUAAAUACUUAUUGUUAGAUAUCAUAUAAAAAUAAAUAUGAAAUUGUAUAUUUGAAAUAUAUAUUUAUGUUUCAUAUAAUUACAAUGUAUAUUAGUUUGGACAUUCGGACCGGUUUCUUCGGAUAUCUUUUCGGAUUUUUUGGUUUUUUUCGGAUUUUCGGGUUACCCGUUCGGGUUCGGUUAAUAACACUUCGGGUUCGGAUAUGUUUUGUACCACCUUACGAGAUCCAUUCGGGUAUUUUUUACAUUUCAGACCGGGUACGGAUUGGGUUUUUCGGUUCGGGUUUGGUUCGGAUUUCGGAUUAUGGAUUUUAUGCCCAGGCCUAUUGCUUGGUGUCGAAGGACAUUCUGAAGCAUUGUCUGGUGGAGUCUGAUGUGGACUUUGUUUGGUGGCGUUUGAGUUGGCGCUUUGUGUGGUGGAGUUAGCCAUCAUGUGUACCUCGUGAUGAGCUAUGUGUGUGCUUGGGUGAUCAAGCUUUUGGUGUCACUGGUGUGCGUUGGUUGCUGACGUACUUGGUGAAGUACUUCCGAGAAGUGGAAGAUUGAAGCCUAGACUCAGGGGGAGUUUAGUAAAGGUGGUUUCAUUAAAGAGAUCAGUGAAGAUUGCAGCUGUAGAAGACAGUGUGCUCCGGUGCACCGGAUGGUGAUCUAUGCAUGCGUGCUUGAUUCCUAAUCUUUUUAGAUUGAUUACUUAAAAAAUAGUGGUAGACACUAGUGUGUGUUGUACCAUAUAGCAAUUGUAGGUUGCCCCUUGUUCUAAGUCAAUGAAAUCUGGACGAGGUCCCGGGGAUGUAGAAGACGAACCCCAUUAACAAACUUUGUGUCUUUUUACUUUCUGCAUUUGUUUUUCGUCGCCUCAUCUGCACUAACAGUGCAUACAUAUCAUUUUUGUUUUGUUUAAAGUAAGCUUGCUUGAAUUUCGUCUCUACUUACCCUAUAAUUAAGUGGCUUAAAUGUUAGGAUGUAACACUAGAUACUCUCUUCCUGCAACUUCCGGCUUUAAUAACAUCACUUGAGAUUUUAUCUAGAAUUUUUCUAGUUUUGCUAGAAGCAGUCAUCUUACUGAGUUGUGGCUUGGAAUGAACUAGGAACAAGUAGGGAUAUCAAUUGGGCACAUUGUCCAUGGGCGGCCCAUGUCCAAAUCGAUAUAGACUAAUGUGGUCACGCCCAAAUCUGCCCGAAAUAUUUUCUGUCCAAAUGGACUAUGCCCAGAUACGCCCAAAGUCCAAUGGACAAAACCAAAUGGACAUGGGCCGCCUAAAUACGCCCAUAUUUUAAAAAUAUCUAGGGUUAGUAUUUGGGGAAAAAAAAUCUGAAAUCACAAUUGGUCUCCGUCUGUCUCUCGAGUCUGAUGGGUUAAUGGGUUUCCGAUUUGAUUGCUUUUAGGUUGAUGGGUAUGCAUGUUAUGUUUAAUCUGAGUAAUGGAACUACUACUUUGUGGCGUCAUAUUAAACACUGUUCUAAGACUCCUGCUUCUGGAAGUACACCUGGAGGUAGCAAUAGGAAGUUUGAUAUAAUGGUCUUCCGUGAAAUGAUUGAUGGUGCCAUAGUUCAUUUGUCGAGUUUAGAAGGAUUAGAGAAGCGUUUAAGUAUGCGAAUCCUAGUAUUGAGUUUUGGUGUAGAAAUACUGCCGUAUCAGAUGUCCUGAAGAUAUAUGAGAAUGAGAAAGCUCAUCUUAGAAAGGUUUUGAGUGAAAUUCCUGGUAGAGUUUGCUUGACUACUGAUUUGUGAAGAGCCAUCAGAAAGGUUUAUGGAAGUCUGGAAAAUAGAAUGCUGGCUAAGAGCGAAUGAGACUUCAGAAGAUGAGACAAUUUGUCAAAUGGUGGAAACAAUGAGGCUGAAAUUUGACAAGUACUGGGAAGAAUACAGUGACAUACUUUCUAUUGUUGCGGUGUUGGAUCCAAGGUUGAAGUUCGCUGCAUUGGAAUAUUGUUAUGACGUCUUAGAUCCAUUUACAAGCAAGUCGAAAGUUGAUCAUAUCCGGAAGAAGAUAAAGAAGUUGUAUGGAGUUUAUAAAAAAGAUCGUAAGAGCACUACUGCGAGCCCUUCAGAAACACAAUUGGUGAACAGUAUACCAGCUGGAUAUGGGGUAAGUAGUUAGUGUUAUAAUGCAUGAGUUUUUGUACUUGGUGUCUUACUGUUUUUAUGUUCAUAAUGCAGGAGUUUUAUGCAUUCUUUUCUUCAAAGGAGGGAAGAAGAAAAUCAGCUUUAGAUGUGUACUUGGUUGAACCGGUUUUAGAUAUGGCUGCCUUUAUGACUAUAGAUGUCUUGAGAUACUGGAAAAAAAUGCAACACGGUUUAAAAAGCUGGCUCGCAUGGCGUGUGAUGUUCUUUCAAUUCCCAUUACAAUCGUGUCCUCUGAGUCGUCAUUCAGUGCUGGAAGCCAUGUUCUUAGCAAGUAUAGGAGUCGACUUCCUCCAUCAAAUGUACAAGCUCUCAUUUGUGGAAGAAAUUGGCUGCGUGAAUUUGAAGUGACGAGUAAGUUGUCUCUUUAAGUAAAUGUCUCUGUUGUGAUGCAUGCCUCUUAGUUAUGAUUGAUUUGAACUGGAAAUGCUUUGCAAGUGAUAAGCUAGUUUAAGUAAAUGCCUCUGUUGUGAUAAGCUAGUUUCAGAAAAUGCUUUGCAAGUGAUAUAUGUUCAACAUGUUAGCUCGUUCUUUUUUUGAAUUAAUCUGUCGCUUUGUUUCAUUGUUUGUGAUGAUUUUAACAUAUCUCUGUUCAUGUUAGGUGAUUCUGAAGAUGAAGAAGAAGAAGAAGAAAAAGAGAAGGAAGGUGAAAAAGAAGGUGGAAGAAAGAAGAAAAAGAAGUAGAUUAAGUGAAUGAAUGAAGCAUGAAAGUUUAAUUUAAGUACCUUUUAGCUUUUGUAAGACAUGCAUUUUAAGUUUAAGUUUAAGACUUUAAGUAUCUUUUGUGAAACAUGAAAUUUAAGUUUAAGUAUCUUUUGUAAAACAUGAAAUUUAAGUAAGUUUAAGAUGUUAUAUAUAUAUAUGACAUUUCUAAUCUAUACAUCUUUUAAGUUUGAAAAUUAGACAUUUUACAUUAAAUGAACAUCUGGACUCCAUGGACAGUCCACCUGGUCAUGGUCCUAUUUGGACAUGGUCAUAUUUGGACAUGGAGCUAUUUGGGCUCGACCAAAAAUGCCCAGAAAAAAAUAAGCCCAUCUGGUCACGUCCAAAUCCACCCAGUCCGUCCAAUUGACAUCCUAGGAACAAGGAAUCAAAAGAAGGAGUUGACAAGUACCAAUCUUGAUUCUUGACUAGUGAGAAGUACACCAGUUUUUGAGAAGCCCUACCUACCUCAAUGAUUUCCCACUAAAAAUUCAACACGGCUGCUCUAGGACCAUGGGACCAGGAAAAGCAAGUUAUAUGAUCUUUCUUUAUUAAAGCACAUGCCUUUUGUUAUCAUGUGAUUGGAAAUUUAUCAAACCAAUACAUCCAUAGAUGUUAAUGUGCUGAACAUAUGUAACAUCUUGGCGGUUUCUGAUUUUUGACUUUUUGCAGCUUUCUAGAUGAAGAAGCUGAUGAAGUUCCAAUUGCAGGUAAUUUCUAAUGCAUUGGCCACACUUUUGUCCAAACUAGGGUAUACAUAUGAACCAUGGAAGACAUGCAGUUAAUUUUGUAGUAGAGUACACACACUUGUCUUGAAAAGAUAAGUGUUAAUCAGGGAACUAAGAUUCAUGAUGGUCUAGGUUAUACUUUGUCUACUAUUAAUGUAUGAUUAGUUUGAAUUCCUAACUGGUUUGAAAGCUAUUCAAAAUGUCAGCUUUUCUCAGUUCACAUUGGUACUUGAGUGAGAGGAAAGUGUAGUGAGCAAUAAACACUUCUUUUUUUAAAUUACUGUCGACUUAAGUCGCUAAAUAAUUUUUUUUUACUAUUGUAUUUAAUCAUUAUGUUGUGUUCUUUCUAUUGUCUGAUUCUAAAAUGGUUCAAACAACACGUUUUUCAUGAUUCCAACGUCAAAUUAGGUUGACUUUUACCAUAUCUAGACUCAUUACGUUAUAGGGUUUCUCUUAGAUUACAGAAGAAGAAAAAAGCUUCAAAGCUUCCGUGGACCAAGUCAGACUUAUCUUCUCUUUCCUUACUUGUAUGCUAACGUUUGUUCCGUUUCACGCCUUAGGUGAGGCAGAUACCUAUGAGUUUGAUCCAGUUCAAGGCAGUUUCACGGCCAACAACACUUUUGCCAAAAAUCUCAACAGUCUUGUCUCCUCUCUAUCCUCACUAACACCCAAAGUUUAUGGCUUCUACAGCCUCACUUCUGGAAACUCAUCUGGAGAACCAGCUUACGCAAUUGCCCUUUGUAAAAGAGAAGUCAAAAGACAUGAUUGUCUCAGAUGUAUUCAGACAGCUGCAAGAAACAUCACCGAGCUGUAUCCAGGGAAGAAAGAGGAUAUUGUGUGGUACACACACUGUAUGUUUCGCUACUCAAACAGGGUAAUCUAU